UUUUUUUUUUUUUUUUAAUCUUUCACAUUUUAGUCUAGUUAAGGUUAAAUUUAUCGGGAUUUACUACAUUAGGCCGUUCUUCUAUUUUCUAAUAUAAUUUUUUAAUCUUCUCAUUCAACUUUGAUAUGAUGGUUCUUAAUAGAAAAUAAAAAUCAAAACUCCAACCGAAAAUUUUUAUGAUAUCUCUUCAAUGGAAAAAUGGACGAAUAUGCACGAAUAGCUGAGGUGACAGUUUCACUCCAAAUCAACUCGGCUUCGAAAAGAAUGCCCGAUUAGAUUUUAAUCAUUUAAAUUUAUUUGAAAUAUAAAUUGAAAUAAGAUAUUUAGCACAAGUGUAUAAACUAUUUUAAAUAAAAAUGAGUUUUUUUUCACUUUAUAAGUAAAAUUAUGUUUUCUUUUUUGGACCACUAAUUAAAAGUAAUAUAUAAAAUUUACCUCUUAUCAUUUUUCAUAGUCUUAUUAACUAUAAAUAUUUAUUACUUAUUUAAGAUUAAAAUUGUCAUAUAUAACUAUACACAAUUAUAAAAAUCCUCAAUGCGUUUCUUUAAUUCAAUUAGUAAAAUAUGUAUAAAAAAAUUUACUCGUUUUCAUUCAGAAAGGGUUUGAAAUAUUCAGAAAGGGAAAGGUCAAUACCUACAAGCUAGUUAGUAACUCCACGAAACAUUUUAUUUUUAGUGAAGAACGUGAACAUACUUGAAACCAAAACCAUUUUCCUUUCCUUUUUUUUCAUUUUUUUUAAAAAGUAAGUUGUUUAGAAAUUGAAGAAUGAUGAACAAACCACGCUGCAGAAGAAGCUCUACUUUGGUUCUUCUCUGGAUCAUCGUUUUUUGGCACCAAAUAUUAUCAGUAGUUUGCGAAAGAGUGCAGCAGCAGUUCAACAAUGAAGAUCAGAAACUAUCUUUCUUUCAAUUAUUAUCAACCUCCAUUGAUUUGUUCAAGAGAUCUCAUCUAUCUUUUUGGCAAAACUUCAAAUCCGUUAUCUAUCAAUUCCAGUUGCACUUCGCCCCUCCAAAUCUUGAGUAAGAUUCCCUUCUCUUUAAUAUUUUAUUUUUAUUCUCACAGCGAGUUUGAAUUUACAUAAAUAUUUUUAGAUUCAAAUCAUAUUACUAGAAUCGAGUGUUACUAUCAGAAUUUGAAUUAAAUAAUAUUAGUUAUUGAAUAUUUGUAUAUGUUAAAUAUUCAAAUUUAAUAUCCACAAAUAAAAUUGAUUUGUAUAGUGAAUUCAAAUAAUAGAUAUCUAAAUUUAUAUUUAUAUUUAUAUUUAUUUUAAAUUUGUUGCGUAUAAAUAUUAUAACAUGUAAAUUCAUUUAUUUUCUGAAUUUACAUUAUUUAACAUGAUUAGUACAAAAUUUGGAUUGAACCUAUGAGUUAAAUUGAGAAUCAAAACAUGUAAAUUUUAUUUUUAAUAUUUAAUAUUUUUAUUACAUUUUUGUCACAAUUUGAACACUAUUUAUUCCAUUAAUAAUAAUGCAUUUUAUCUCUUAGUUCAAUAUUAGUUUUUUUUUAUAAAUAUUAGAAUUUACUUUAAAUAUAUUUAAAUUUUAAUAAAUGUUGAUCAAACACGAAACCAAAAAAAUAUUACCAGAUUUGGAUUCAACUUUACAUUCACCAUUUAACAUAGCCAUCUUUUUAAUUAUUUUUUUUAUGAUAUUGUGUGUUUUUAAAUGAUUAUUUUAUCGAUUGUGAUGGGCAGUUUUAGAAGGAGGGACACAAUAGAAGGAAAGGAAUCAGAGAGUGUGCGAGAAAAUAUGAAAGAAGCAGUGAAGAAGAGCAUUAGAACAGGAGAAGCAGCACUUAAAGGAACUGCGAAAUCAGCUGCAAAAGUUGUUCAAAAGACUGCUGAUAAGGUCAAGAAGAAAAAGAACACAGUCUCUCAAUCUCAUGAUGAGCUUUAGAUUUUUACACGCAUUUUCACUGUUAGUAAAAAGCUUUUAUGAUAUUUUUACAGGUAAAAAAAAAUCCAAAAAAGGAAAAAACUAAAAAUUUUGUUUUUUCGACUCCAAAACAUACUUCUAAUUAAAAUUCAUUUUAGAAAUUUAAACUCAAAGAAGAACUUUAGAGAAAAUAGCUUUUACUUUUAUUAUUUAAAACAUUUUUUUGUUAAAAUUUCAAUUUAUCUUCCCUACCAUAUAGUAAAGUAAUUUAGGUGAGUUUAUCGUUUUUAAGUAAAUUAUAAUUUUUGUUAAGUGAAUUUCUUAAUAAUAAACACUCUUUCUCUAUCUUUGAUGGAACAUGCAUUCUUGAUUCCCUUGUCAAUCCCUUUGUCAUCUUAUAAAAUAUCAAAUUCAAGAUCAAGAUUCAUGAUUCAUGAUUUAUUCAUCUUGAUUUGAUUCAAUAUUAUAGUCCAACUCGACUCCAUUCAAAUAUGCUCCUAAAUCGAACUCAUCACUCUAACCCGAACUCAAAGCCCUCACAAGAAAAGUUAGGAUUCGAACACUUAACCCAACCAUAAGCUCUAAAAAGUCGAAUGAAAUUUGCCCAAUAGUUUAUUAUCACAUCAAGCUACUGGAGAAUGUAGGACAAUCUCAAGUAUAAGUUCUUCAAAACGAAUCGAAUUGACCGAAAUAUCCAUGAAAAACCGAAUUAACUGAACCAAACUUAGUAUGUUUUCUUAGGUAUUUUAGUUUUCUCACUGACAUUAGGUUGGGUUUGAAAACUUUAAUUGAAUAUGGAUACGUUUAAAUAUAAAAAAUAAUAUAAUUUAUUCAUUUCUUUAAAAUUAAAUGUUGUUUUAUUCUAUUGAUUUGGUUUGAAAAAAAACUCACAAAUCAACCAAAUAAACACAUUAAAACUGAACUAUCUAUCUGAACAAAAUCAAAACCAACCAACUUGAUCAGUUUCGAUCUGUUCGACCUGUUUGUUUGGUAAUCGAUGUUUUGCUCACCCCUAUCAAUGAGUGAGCAUAAUUUUCAUUUCCAAUUGCAAAUAAGCAUUGAAGAGUCAUUGACAACAUUAUGCAUGGCGAGGCAAAACCUGAUAUUCGGAUAUGUGUCAAACAUGAGCAUCAGAUAAAGUCGAAGCGACAUAGAUUAUGAGAGAAAAGUAGAAUGUAGUGUCCUAAACAUAAGGUAAUCGAAGCUGCACUAAGGAGAAUGAGAUGCAGAUAACCUAAGGCAUUCACUUUGACACCUUCUAAGGCAAAUAUCAUUCCAGUUAGGUACCUGAUGUUGGUUGACACAAACGGUACGAGCGCAAGCAUCGGAGCAAGCGUCGAGCUCAGACACACCGCAAACAGUUACACAAGUGUCAGGGAUCGGAUCCUUUGAAAAUGCCCCAACCUUUUUCAACAUUCUCUUCGACGUGCAGACUCUCUCACAAAUGAAAAUGUCAUCCGAGCUCUACUCCCUUCCCCUGGCACUCUUAAGUCUCUGUUCUUCGGCAUGCUUUUUCCUCAAUCUAAAAACUUGCCCUGCGAUAACUGCCGGGAUAGCAGUCCCGAGAAGGGUCCACCACACAUCCGCCAUCCCAAAUUUCACAAGCCGGAUUUCUGUUUCCCUACUUAGUUUUCUGCACUCUAGAAAAAUAGGAAAACUAAAUACAUGAACAACCUUUAUUCACUCCUCAACUCCACAUCUAGCAGAUAUACUAAAUUUAGCUAAAUUCAACUUCACUUUUAACGCAUAAUUAAACAUUCAAGUGGCCAAAGUAAUCAAAACUAUGAAUUAUAACAAGAAAUUUAUGUUGCUCGACUUCUUGUAUAAGUAUUAUAUACGGAUAUGGUUAGAUUUUUUUAGAAGUUUUCUCCAAUUUAUUUUGAAGAAAAUUCGAGAUUAUAUCACAAAUAUUUCAAUAAGAAAAAAUCAAAGCAACAUAACAACUAGCAAGAAACAACCUACAAAAAAGGACAUUUAAAGAUAAAUAAAUGACAAUUACUUACGGCCAGCAGUUUGAUGUAAGCCUAAACCCUAAACCAUGAAAAAAUCGGUUUAAUAGAUAAAACACCAGAAAUCUGGUGACAGAUCAGUUAAUAUAUAUUUCAAAAAUUGAUGAAAUUUGAUCAUUUUUAAGUUAAAAAUCGGAAAUUGAAUGAGGAAGAAAAACAGAAAAGAGAAAUACGUAUUCCGAGUUACAGAUCAAAUCACAAAUAACAUAGACAAAAUGACGCUGUUAGUUCUACAGGUUUAAUUUCUAUAAAAAGAAAGAAAAAAAAGAGCGGAAAGUAAACUUUUUUAUUUUUAUUUUUAUGUUAGGUUUUAGAUUUGGGGCUGACCUUUGGAGCUAUGCUUUCGCUUUCCACUUCGGAAAUGCUUGUUUUUAGUGUUUUCUUAAUAUUUAUUUAUUUAUUCUUUCAUUCAUCAGCAUUUAUUAUUAUUGCUGUUACUGUUAUUACUCAAAUGUUCAAACAAACGAGUGAAUUGUUUUAAUUUUUUCUUAGAAAUAAAUAAUAUUUUAAAAUUUUGAGUAUUUUUUAAGUUAAAAAAUGCGGAUUCUUAUUAAGUUAACUAUUAAGUGAAAAAAUUUGAACAAUUUAACAGUGCAAAUUGACUCAUUACAUUAAUUUAAUAAAAAAUUUAUAAUAAUUAAUAGAUUAUAGCAUAUCACAAUGUAAGCUUUAAUUUUAAUUUUUUUACAAAAGGAGUACAAAUUGUGAAAAAAAAUGCAAACAACACUUUUUUAACAGUGCAAUAUUUUAAAAAGUUAUACAUGUAAGCUUUAAUUAAUUUUUUAGGAAGUUUUUUUUAUUUGAUCUAAUUCCAGAUUUUUUAACCAAGUUUUAUUUUUCUUUUACCUAUCUUUAGGCUAUUUUUUAGUGUCAUAAUAUAUAUAUAUAUAUAUAUAUAUAUAUAUAUAUAGUGUUAUAGUACUAACACAAUGAUUAAAAUUCGUACUGAUGAUUAAGCGAGAAGGAUUGAAGAUUAUGCAGGCGUUCCUUUCUCUGCUCAAUUAUGAACUUAUUAUGAGUAUCUAUUAUUAUGAUCAUUUUUUAAAAAUUUAAAUUAAUUGAACUAAAAUUCGAAUUUUACAUAUUUAACUAUUUAUCUCCAACCCAAAAUGAAACAAGGCGUAAAAUAAAGAAAAAAAAAGGUUUGAUUGAAAUGCAUCACCUAUAUUUUGGCUUUGGGGUAAACAAUUAAUAAUUAUACAACCAGUAAAACUGUAAAAAAAAAACCCAAAAACGGAGGGCGUGUGAAACAAAAAUGAUCUUUUGGGGGAGGCCUGGGGAUAUAAAAGAAUCGGCAUGCCAGAUAUACAAGCAUAAAGGUAAAAAAAUUAUGGAGGAAAGCAUAAUAUGGCCAACACACAAUAUUUUAAUCUCCCAGCAAUAGUGAUUGUCUUGUAGCAAACACCGGAAACGAUAUUACAUCAGACAUUAAUAUCCGCACGCUUCGAUCUGGUGCUGCUGUUGAUUUCUUGGGAACCGGUAAAGGAGAACCGUGGGAUGCUGUAAUUCUCAGUCACUGAAACCGGCUGUUGGGGGUAAAGCGUGGGAGGUGGAGUAAGGUUGCGCUGUGCAGGUAAGGGAGGAAGCAUGUUGUACUUGUAAGGGUCACCACUCAAACUGCAAACAACCGGAGCAAACAACAGAAUUUUCAUCUGCAAACUAGGGGAAGGAUGGAGAGAAGAAUGAUGGUGACAGCCAGACUUACCUUGUACGCCUGUACAACUGAUGAUCAUCAUCGGAAUUUUCAUCCAGACAUUGAGAAGUCCUCAGAGCAGGAGAUAUGGACCAUGUAUUCGGGGUCGAUAAAUCAUCUGAAAAAUACCGUCUCUUGAUCAACUGAAACAAGUACCGUAUAAGUUUAACAACAGUAAACCCCCAAGAAAAUAAGAGCUAGAACGCGACACAAAAUAAGAAAAGAGGACGAUAAUACCAUACGAAAAAAUUUCAUUAAACCUUCCUUGUCAUAUCUUGCUUCUUUGGCAGCCUGUAGACAUUGAGCAAAGUGUUAGACAUCUUCGGUUACCGAAAGCCAAAACUAACAUCGUUAAAUCAGGUUUGACAGGCUAGUCAAGAAUAUCAGACCUUUACCAACCCCAAUGUUUCACUAAUGUUUUAGACAGUGAAUUGUGAUUGAUUUAAAGGUUAACUAGCAAAGGUGCCAUCUUAUACCUUUUCGGGCAAAAAACAACUUCGUGAAGUAAAAUAUCUUCCGUAAAAGAGAAUUUCCAUGAAAAGAAUUUGGACUCGAGAACAAAAUUUUAUUUGUGUUUCUUAUACAAAGAAAACAAAAAGAAAAUUAACAAAAAAGCACAAAAGAUAAUUUAAUGUAUCAUUUCCCAUACUUCAAACCAAAAUGUUGUCCACAGGGUUCUAACCUUAUUGAACUGAAGUGUACCAUUUCCCGUAUUUUAAAUUUAAAACCAAUAUGUUGUCAACAGAGUUCUAAUUCUAAUCUUAUUGCAAGUACAACUCUACAUUAAAAUAGAUCAAUUCAACGAAACACCAAGUUUCCCCCACAAAUAUCUGCAAAUAUAUAAAAGAGAACAAAAUAUGAAAUUAUUACUCUAACCGGCAUAUAAGCAAGUCAAUGCGAAAGUUAAAAUGCUUACAGCAAUAAGGCUGCCACUACCAGGAAAACUCUCGGUCAAUGGAAGUUCCUCACUAGGUGGAAGCAAACCCUGCUUCUCAACCCACUGACGAGCUACAUCAACCAGAUUGCCACUGCUACCUCUUGUACCCUCUUUAGCAGCUAUAUCAGCUUUGUUACCAAUAACAAUAUAUGGGACAGGAAGUCCCCCGGGGCCUCCAGAGCUUAGAGGAGCCGAAAAUGUCCCAGUUGUUGCAAUCUCAGAUGCCCACUGCUGCAAGCUUGUUUUUGUUCUCCUUUGGGAAAGAUCGUGUACAAAAAUAACACCUGCACAAAAAAUUAAUGGUGGAACCGUGAGAGAAAAUUACAGGUCACAGAGUCUGCAGUAAUUACAAAAGGCUAUAAUGGGAAGCUGAAGCAUUACAAGACUUACAAACUAAGGUUUAGAAAAUUCCCGUACCAACAAUUAUCAUGAACUUAAGAUAUUUGCUCAAGAAAAGAGACUUAAGAACUCACCAUUAAUUUGUGAAUAGAAAAGAGAUCGGCAAUCUUUGUAUCGCUCGUGUCCCGACACGUCCCAAAGUUCAAUGAAGAAAUCUCUCUCAGCAUCCCCUUUCAAGCUACUUGACGAGCUACCAGGGCUACCAUAUUUGGUAUGCUGUGUAGAGAUUGUAGUGGCUAAUUGGUAAAUGAACUCGAACAAUAACUUUAUUCGAGGCAACAAAGGAGUACUAAAUCUUACCUUCACACCAACUGUACACCCAAUGGUUUGAGGAGGACAAGCAGUGGAAAAACCUUUGACAAUCAGAUGAACAAGAGAAGUUUUCCCCACACCUGACAAAAAAGACUAAGAUUUCAAGCAAAAAAUCGGCAUCUAAUAGAACAUUGAAAAGAAAAACAUAUUAUAUAUUUAAGCAUGAAUAGUAAACAAAUUAGAACAUCAGAUCAAGAGUCUGCAUACUUAUCAAUAAUGGCACAACACGGUGUCGGAAACUCUCGGGCAGUCGAAAACAAAUUAAUAUAACAUCCAAAGGAAAUAGCAUAGGAACAUGAAAGCAGUGAAUCAUUUUAAAGGUUUGCUCUCCUAGUACAGAAAGCAAUAAAACAGCCAUCAACAAACUACUGAAGAACAUCAAAUAAGGCCACUCAAUGUGUAAUCUUAGAUCAAAUAUUGAGGGUGGGAUAAUGUAUGGGUAGAGAUCUUGAUGUGCAAACAAAAGCAUUUGUUACUUCAAUUAUAAUAAUUUUAUAGCAUACAAACUCAGCAGACACCCUAAACAGCUACUCUGUAUAGAAAAACAUAAAGCAACAAGCAGAAAAAUUUGCAAAGGCAAACACAGUAUAUGAACACAAAAGUUCACUGAUUAAUAAAAAGAAGUAAAAUUCGAUACCUGAAUCACCAACAACAAGAACUCUGACUUGCCCACAAGGAGGUCCUCCAUUAAACUCUUUGAAUUCCCUUUCACGUUCCCUCCGAAACAUUUUUUUUUUCUGUUUUUUUUUUUUCUGUUACCACCGAAAAAGAAAAAACCUAGCCCAACUCAACUCUAGAAGCGAUGGCAACACUAAUAAAAUCCCAUAAAAAAAGGCACAAAUUCAAAGGAGAGGAACAAUUUCUUGAAAUGGGUACCCAAUAUUUCGAACUAACAUCCAUCUCAGACCAAAAUCCACCCAAGAUCUACACCCGAAUCCAGGAUCACGAAACUCAUCAUUCUGAAUCAAAUUGGAUCUAACAAAAUAGACCUUCUUUGAAUGGGUAUAUUUUAAAUCGAGAGACAAUAAGUGGAUUUCUCUUUAAAUUUCAGUUUAGAGCUUCCAAAUCUCAGUUGAUUAAACUGGGGUUUAAAACUAUAUUUUCUAAAAUAAAAAAUAUAAAUCGUUGAUUUUAGGGGGUUUAUAGGAUGGUUAGAAAGAUAAAACAAAAGUAAUUAGCUAAAGUAGGGAUCCAGAAUUGAUUUUCGGAGGGAUUGAUUUUAACUUCUAUUUCAUGUGUUUGAUACGGAUCGAUUAAACAGAGAAACUUGAAGCAGGAACGUUCAUUUCACGCGCUAGAAUGCGCUUCGUAUUUACGAGAUAUGUCGAUUUCUCUUUUUCUUUUUUUCUCGUAUUAAAAUUUGUUAAUUAUUAUGAAUUUUAUUGAUUGAAUCUUAUUGAUUGAAUCUUAUUGAUUGAAUCAUAACUCAAUUAACAUUGUUAUGAAAGAUGUAGAUUCGAUUACGUUGAAAUAUAAUAUUAUUGUAUUUAAAGGUUGGAGAGGAACCAUGAAUAAUUCUAAAUAUUUUAUAAAAAAAAUAUGAUAAUAAUAUAUAAUGAAAUUAUGUUUAAAAAAACAAUAAAAUUAAUGAUCAAAUCAAUCAAACUAUUGAUUUUUAAUUGUACUCCAAACUAGAAUAAAAGCGCUUGCUUCAUUAAAAUUUUCAAUUAGUAUUUGAAUAACUACUAAAUUGUCGCAUUUCAUAACAACCUUCCAAUAGCAAUAAUUAGGGAUGUUCAAAUGGUUAAUUAAACCGAAUUAGUAUUAACCGAAUUAAUUAAUUUUUUUAAUCUUUUAACCGUUAACUCAAUCGAAAUUUUUUCAAAAAAAUUUAACCAAACUGGAAUAUUUCGAUUAAUUUAGUCGGUUAACCGAAUUAACCGAAAUUUAUCCUUUUUUUUGUUAAAAAAAGUAGUAAAACAUAUCAAAAAAAAACUUUAAAAUGUUCAUUUGAUCGAAUUAAUUAAAUUAACGGAACUAGUAAUAGUCUAAUACAUAUAAUAUAUAAUAUGAUUUAUUAAGUUCGGUUAAUUUGGUUAAUUACCUUAUUUCAAACUAAAUUAACCAUUAAUCAAAAUUCCAAAAAAAUCUUUAACUGACCUCCGAUCUAAUUAGAUCGGUUAAUUCAGUUUUAAUCAAAGUUUGAACACCCCUACCAGCAAUUCCAAGCUAAAAGUUAAACCACUGAAAGUACCUCAAAGCUCCGCUUGUAUCAUUAUGCAUAUAUGAGCACUCCUAUUGCAUCCCUACACACAUCUGCCCUGACAAUCUCUUAAAAUUCAUCAUACUCACUCCAUUGUGGUACUUAUAUUCAUAUUCCUAUUUGUGUUAAGUUUGGCCCUGUUUUCAUUGGAUGGUUGCUCCAUCAACAUCGUUACACAAUGAUCAUUUUACUUUUUGAUUUAAUAUAUAAAGAUUAAUUUGUCCAUCUUUUUAGUGAAUAGGACAAAAUGCAACUCGACUCCUAAUUUAGGGCCCUCCGUAAUAUUUUUACUUAAUCCUACUCUUUUUUAAUUCCACUUCACUAGCAUAAAAAAAUUUAAAAAGUCAAAUCAUCACCUUAACAACAAGAUAGAUGAAAUUUUUAAUAUAAUGACUAAUUUUCAUUUUUUUCUUAUUAUAUAAUGAUUAAAUUACCAUUUUUACUAUAAAUGAUGAAAUACAAUCAGACUUUUACUAUAAAGAUGGAUAAUACUUUAAACUCCUUUUACUUAUUUUCUUUCUAAUUACAGCUCAAGUUUACGAAAAGUUGAACUUUGUAGCUCCAAAAGUGUAUGUUUCUUUCUUAAGAAGAACCUAUACAAAGCUGAGAUAGAAUGUAAAAUUAUUAAAGAACCAUCAACUUCAUUUUAAAGAAACCCAGAUUUUGAAAUUGCAUCAUAUAAGUCUGCUAGCAAAAUUUUCUCACUGAACUGCAAGUUAAGAUUAUACCUAAGCAUUUUAUAUUGCAGAUGGUUUUUUAUAUAUUUAAUAAAUUAAAUAUGGAUAGGUUCGACUUGAAAUUUUUUUAAUUCUAUUCCAGCUAAGCUUAAGUAAAAAAAUUAUAUUUUAAAUGAAUGUGAAAGAAAAAAUAAAUAAAUAAAAGAUAUUUGUCUAAACCCAACCCAAAACCAGUUCAUAAACAGCUUGAGAUUAAAUUACUUUAAAAAGUAAAGCUUUUCCAUCAAAUUAUUGUUUUACCGUAUAUUAAGAUAAUUUUUUUUUAAAAAAAAUUCACUUUUAUAAACAAAAAUUGGGUUUUCAUUGAAAUAAUGAGGAAACUAAAUUUUCGAAAUAUUUAUUUAGUAGUUCUUUGACACUUAUAAAUAUUGAACUUUUUUUUGUUAUUUAUAAGAGUUAGGGUAAAAUCUAUUCUCCAAUUAGUUUAUGGUAAUAAAAUGACGAGGCUAUGAUUACAUCAUUGGAUGAUGAGAUCCUUCUAAAUAAUUUUCAAGAUUUCCUCUCGAAUAUUGUAUGAGUUGUUAAUUUUAUUGGAUUUUUUAUUAUUAAGAAUGGUUUAAACUAUUAGCAUUGUUUGUAAUGCUAAAAAUUUAAUAUUUGAUAAUCUUUAGUGAGAGUAUGUUGAAUUGAUUUAUAGUCCAAAUCUAUUUGAAUAGAUAUAUUAUUUUGAUUAUUAUCUUUAAUCGAAAGCUCGAUAUUUUGAAUUUUAAUAUUUUAUUGGAGAACAUGAAAAUGAGGUUUUUUUAGUAAAAUCCGAGAUGGAUACUCAAUUUGAAGUAUAAAUUUCUAAGGUCUAAUAGAAUAGGGUGUAAGUAUUGUUGAAUAGAUCUCAAUGGUGAUGAAGAUGUUGAAACGAUAGUAUUUGAACAUCAAGAAAGUGACAAUUUUGCAGUGGAGCUCAAAGAUAUUCCCAAUACUAUGUUAGUUUUUAGUGUCCUUAGUGCAGUGAUUUCGUCAUUUUAGUUGUAAUUUCGAACUAAUUGAUUAAAUAAAAUUUCAUAAUUAAUUUGUUAUAUCUUCGUAUGUUUGUCCUUGACAAUUUUUGCAUGAAUUAGAAAACAUUAGUUCAUUGAUUACCUAAAGUUUAACUAAUAUUAAGUUGCAUCAUAUGAAAAUGAUUAUGAUGUGUGAACACAACUUAUAUUAGUAGGUGUCUGUGGUCCAAAAUGUAACACUCCUUACUUGACUUUAUCGUCGGUUUCGAGCAACAGAGUGCUACAUUUGUUGCCGGAGCAACUACUGACAAUUUCACAGCAAAAACAUCAUUUCGCUUCAGCAAUCAUGCAAUCGAUCAAUAAUACAAUAUAGAACAACAUGGACUUUCUUUUUCAGGUCUUAUACGAGCAUACGAAUGCUUUAGAGUCAACCCGAGAUCAAAUAAAUACCUUUUUGCAACACUUUUAAAAUUUCAUAUAAAUAUUUUAUAAAUAAAUAAUUCAAAUAUUCAAUCAAACUAUAAACACCUAUGUAUUAUGAUACACAAUUAAAUAUGAGUCUUAAUCGAGUUUACGAAUGCUCUUUUAUUGACCCAAGCGUGAAAUAAGACUAAAUUAUAAAGUUUUGAAAAUUCAAGGCUGACGUUACAAUGUCACCUCCUUCACGUCAUGGUGUCGCCAAAUAGUUUGUCACAUCACGACGUCAAGCCACCCGACAUCACAAUGUCACCUACUAUCCGGCUGACAUUGCAACGAGAAAAUGUAGUCAUCGGGACAAGGACUUUAUUUUUGGCAAAAAUCAAGCCAUUUUGUACCUAUUUCAAGACAACUAUACCAUUAACCCAUUUGGUGCAUAAAUGCACCUUAAUUUCCUGCACCAUACCAAUCAAAUUACAUACCAAUACAUUAAUCUAUCCAUUUUCAAACCAAUAUUGCCUCAAAUUGGCACCAUUUCAUACAAAUUCAUCCCAAUCAAACAUUAAAUUUACAUUUCAUGCUUGUAAACUAUCCAAACCAAGUUUAACCGUACCAAAUCAAGUUUAUUUGUGCCAAUUAAAUGUCAUACACAAUGUCAUGCAAGUUUCCAAUUCAUACAUCUAUGCAUAUGAACAUUAAGUUCCAUAAUACAUACUAGGUUAACCAACAAUCGAUUCAACUUUGCUAUUACAUAACACCUAUGUACAUGCCACAAAUCGAGCUUUAACGAUAAAAAGAGUAUCGAAUCAAUAAUAGGAUAGUGUGAGCUCCUCGACAACCCACUAGACAUGUUCCACAAGUUGGCGAUCUACAGGGAAAGGGAAACAAUGGGGUAAACAUAUUAAAUGCUUAGUAAGUCUAUAGGCAUUAAACUAAAUAACUUACCUCAUUUUAUAAUUAAACACUACAUGCUACUUAGCUUGGUAAAGUUUGUCUAACAUGACAAAUUAAAUAUAAAAAAAAGUUAGUUAACAUUUAACCUCAUCAUAUAACAAUUCAAAUACAGGCCAAAUAACUUAGAAUCAUAUUUCAAUACAAUUCUCAAAACCAAUUCAACAUUUAACCAUAUGAACAUCAUUCUCAUAAUAUCAUAUCAUUCCAUCUAUUUAUCAACUAUACAUUCAAUUUCAAUUUCAAUUUAAUGUCAAUCACUGUUUCAUUUCAUUAUACAAAUUUUGAAUUGAAUUCAUUGAUUCAUCACAUUUCCAUAUCGGCCCUUCAGGCUUGUAUAACUGGUUCGUAUGAUUUUUCAUAUGCCAUCGAUAUUCGUAUAUCACAAUAUGUAUACAAUUCAUAAUAUCAUAAUAUCAACCCAAUUCAAAUAUCAUUUAUCCAAUUUUCAUUUUGUACCCCUAUUAACCUGACUUGGAUUCAAACGUAUACAUGGAUCUAACUAACCACACCAGUUUGGCACUAGUGCCUCAUCGGACUAUGCUAAAAUAGUUUGCGCCCAACACUCAUCAUUGUGUUUGGCACCCAGUGCCUCAUCGGUAUAACCGAAGUAUAAAUGUGUCCAGCACUCAUCGACUCGUAGUCAAAGUAACUUGUACUCGACCUAUCCUAUGGCAUGUUAGUUAUAUUCGACUCUACCUGAACAGUUAAUAAGGUGACCUUUUAUUCGAUCGUCAUAUUGUUCAAUUCGCAUUUAAAAAAUAAUAAUUCAUACAUCAAAUCAUCAGUUUGUCACAUAGCAUAUCCCAAUUCAAACCAAUUCAAGGUCAAUUCCUUAAUUUAAUUGAAUUACACAAUUUCAAUUCUAUUCAAUUUAAUCCUCUAUCUCGAUAAUCAGUCAAAUUCAUACCAUUAUGAUUUGAUAAGUCAUCAUCAACUAUUAAUUCAUUAAUAUUUCACAUUUCAAUUCAUCAUAUUCAAAUUAUCAGCUAAUUUAUCAUUUUCUUUAUGAUUUAGUCUAUAUCUCACCUUUUGUACCAAACUACAAACAAUUCAAAUUACUAUUAAACAUACACGAAUUCAUAAUUUAAAUAUAUAUAAUAAUUUAUAUACAAGCAUACCAUAUGAAAUUACAUGGUCAAAACAUCAAACAACUCUCCGAGGACAAAUCAACAAAUUUUGUCAUUUCAUCAAUUAUCUUCGAUUUGGUCAAAUUUCCAAUCUAUUCAAUAAUUCAAUUCAAUUUAUCAAUUCUAAAUAUCUUAUAUCAUCAUAUUAUAAGCAUAUGUCAGUUCAUUUUUAUUAUUCAAACGUAUUGUAAAGUUUUGCAUUUUAUUCAAUCUAGUCUCUAAAACCUAAAUUACAAUAUCUUUCAAAAUUGAGCUUUGAUUUCGUAAUCAAUCUCAAUUUCAUCCUUUUACAGCCCUCUAUUGUCAAUAAUUACAGAAUUAUUACACAAAUUUUGAAAUUUAUGCACUCUAGUCCAUAUGUUCAAAUACUAGCAAUUAAACUCUGCAAGUUAGUCAUUUUUCAUAUCUAAGCUUAAAAUAUAACAAAUUAACACCAAUUUCAUCAAGAAAUCAUCAAUGGUUACUUUUAGAAAUUUUAACAGUUUUGUAAAUUGAUACAUGAGUUAGCUAAAUCAACCUCCCACUAUCUCAAAAAUAUAAAAAUUACAAGAAAAAGAAUUUAAUUACAAUAACUUACCAAGAACCAAAAGCUUGAAACUAAAAAAAAUGGUUGCUAGGUUCCUCUUGUACCAUAACUAACUAUCCAAUUAACAAAUUCGUCAGAUUAAAAUUCAAUAUAGUAUUAUAAUUGUCUCGUAAAUAUUAAUUAAUAACAUUUACGGACUCAAUCAUCAAAAAAUAGGAUUCUGAAACAACCAUUUUCGACAUCACUGACUUUCAGGUCGUUACACAAAUAAUCAAAACGAGCAGUUGAUUGAUGAGACUAUUCUUGUGUUUAUUAAGUCCAAAUGGGAAGAUACAUUGUCUUAAGUAUUAGAGUAGUUGACUCCGAAAAAAUAGGAACAUAAGCAAGAUUGUUUAGAUUGACAAUACAUCAGAUAAGACCUAAGUAUAAUUUAUACCAGAUCCGUUUAUAGAUUUAUUCACUUGUGACGUUCAUGGUGUGAUUUACUUUAAUCCAAAAUAAGUGGCUGACCAUGUGUACUUAAUUUAUAUGCUUUGAUAUAUUGAAAGGUUGGGUUCCAUUGGUGUUGGAGCCGAAAGUUGGUAUGUUAGGUAUAUUACUUAUAUAUAGCAUGAUUUCACUUUCAUUUACAGUAAGCGAAAUUAUAACUCGGUUAAAGAAUAAAUGAUACCCUUUCAUUGGUAUUACGUGAAUUACAGAAAAAGAACGUGGACAUGAGUUAUUCGUUUGGGAUGAAUGAUUAUUAUUACUAUUUUUUAACAGUAAUGUUUUUCAUUGUGGAAAAUGCAAUGGUGACCAUAAGCUUAAAUAAGAUCGAAAUAGGUGAACAUAUCUUAACCUAAAUGGAUCAAUGAUAUGUUAUAAGGUCAAUGAUAUGUUGUAAGGGUAACACCAAAAUGAUAAAUUUAAUAGACAAAAACAUAAAUCUAUAUCACUUUUGUAAUGAUAUAUAACGGGGAAGAUCAAUUAUGAUACUUUUAGUGUAUUGACUUCAUGCCUAAAUAAUUGGUGAUUAAUAGACGAAAAAUCGAAACUUAAAUACAAAUGAUUUAAAACCUAAUUAUAUAUCUGAUCGAUCCCUCCAUUAGCUCAACACAACUUUACAUAAAUUGUAAAUAAGAACAAUUACAACAAAGGAAUGAAAAUGAUGAAUCGUAAAUACGUUGCCUGGUUAUUAGUAAAAAUCACUAAAUGCUUGGAUAUUCUUGAACAAAUUUUAUUCACUGCUGUUACAUUUUCAUUGUUUUCUCUCUUCUAUGGUUCUAAAUCGUCGAUUAAUUUGUAUGACCAUUGAGGAAUUUUUUUACUUAUUUCUUUUAUUCUAAUAAAUUUUUUUUCUAAUUCUUUGAUUGUUGAUACUAUUAUAAUUAUAUUGAAUAAAAAUUUAAAAAUUUUGACUCCUUAUCGCAUAACUAUUCGUAGGAAAUGUAAUUUAAAAAAUACAAACCAUGUAAAAAUGAAAAAAAAAAGCUAUUUAAUAAAAUCCGCCAAAAUUAUUAUCUGAUACCAAGCAAGUGGUGAAAGUAAAUCCAACGGUGAAAAUCGAACACAAAGCACCUCGCGACUCCAUCAGCAUAUCAGACAGCAAGCAGAUUCCCAAAACAAAUACUAGAAACCCUACUCCCAAAUAGAAGUUUGAUUGAACUCUCUCAUGGCGUUUUCUACCCGUCUCCUCUACAAAUCUCGCCAGGUCUUUCGUCUUCACUCCAGAUCUGCAUUUAUGAUUUCUUUAAAAUUUCCGCUUCAAAUUCGAACCUUUAUUUUACUUUUUUUUUUUCAUUUCAAUCUUUAUGAUUCAAAAGGUUCGUUUCUCGUUUUUCAGAUUAUUCGGGUUUCGUUUAUUUCACUUGUGGAUCUGUUAUGCGAACUGGAAAUUUGAUGUUUAGAUUAUACUUACAGAUUUAGCUAAAAAUUGGAAGUCAUUUGUGUUAAAUUGCCGUUUUAUAUUAUGGGAUUUCAUCUAAUAUUUUAUGAGAAAAUGUUGGAAUAAAAGUUCCUAUAUUUUUUUUCCAAAAAAAAAAAAGAUAAAUAUUAAGCACGAUUUCAGCCACAAGCCCACAACAGCUAAAAGAAAAAUUAUUGCAGAAUCUAGCAUACAUUAUUUUGAUUUUUUGAUUUUAUGUUAUUAAUUUUACUAAUCCGCAGUAUGAUAUGUUUUUUUGUCUUUGAUGUUUGGCUGGGAUAUUGCAUCUUUUAGAAAUUAAUCUUUGGGUAAUUUGUACAGCUUUAUGUUAGUCAAGCUGUUCUGCGGCAGGAGGUUGCCAUUCCUGUCCGGUUUUACUCUAAAGAGGCUUCUCCCCCUGGUUUAAAAGGAGAUGGUAAGUGUAUAUCAAGAUGCUUGCUUUGCUUUUGACCUUAAUUUGGAUCCCCACUACAUGCUUCUCCCGGCUUGUUUUAAAUAUAUGCUUGUGUAAUGCAGGAGCUGCUACUAUGAUAUUUUAUUGAUUCAGUCUUAUUUAUUGAUUGUUGGAGAUAUCGAUGGAUGGUUAGGAUUAUAAGUUAUUGUUAAAGUUUUAAUCUAGGAAUAGGAAUAUAGGAUUAAAGCUUUAUUUGUAACUUAGCAUAAAUAAGUUGUGAAAUAGAUUUACAACUACUUUAUGAUUAUUUUUGAGGAUAAAUCUCAAAUCUAUACCUGAAUAUUGUGCAAUGUGAUAGGUGAACUUUGAUUUUGUUCAAUUGAAUACAUAGAAAUGUAAAUUUAAAUUAAAUUUUAAUUUCACAGAGCACUCACAAUUUCCAACAUGAAACUGUUUUAUGUUUAUUUAUUGCAUACACUUAUAAUUAAAUUUACCCAACAUGAAUUAAUUGAAAUUAUUAUUUUUUAAUGUAUAAUAAUAUCAAAACCAAAGUUCCAUGCAUAAGAUUGAAUCAAAAUUAAAGUUUGACAUGCAUAAUUGCACCAAAUCAAAGUUAACUUGUUAUAUUACACAUUGGAUUAAAGCUCUUGUGUAAUUAGGAGUUUUAUCCCCUUUUUUUAAUGAAUAGAAUUAGAAACUAGAGGUUUAUCUAACCCCAUGAUUUCCAAGAAUUCUAAUUUUUAUGUUACUCGUCUUGAGACUUAAUUUUAUUGAUUUUCUGCUGUUUUCUCCCGGAACCUAACCAUUAUGUUUCUGUGGACUACCUGUUUUAUGCUUGGGCCUUGGUGCAUUGUCGAUGUGGUUUCAUUUUCUAUAACCUAGAGGUUUGAUGCAUAUGCGAAUGUAGCAGGAUGAAGUGUCUUUUUCAUGUUGAGCUCAUGUUAUCUGUUACUAAUUCUUGUUCUUGUGUGUGGUUUACUGAUGAAUUUGUUUUUGCUUCGAUAAAAAAGAGAUAUUGAAAAAUAUCUUUGUGGAGGUUAAGAACAAAUUCGAGACAGCAUUGGGAAUAUUUAGGAAGGAGAAAAUCACCAUUGACCCAGAUGACCCUGCUGCUGUCUCUCAGUAUGCAAAUGUUAUGAAGACUGCUAGAGAAAAGUAAGUUUUUUCUCUCUUUCGUGGUUGACUUGUUCUACCACUCUUUUCCUUUGAGCAUUUGCACAACUGUUGUUGUUUAGUUUAGAUUAGAUUGUAUUUGCUAAUCGCUAGAACAUUGGGAAGCAACAAGGUAGAAACUAGAAAGUAGAAACGGGGAUUGAGAGUGCUUCUUUGCUCCCAUCCCUGAACUUUUACGAUACAAUAGCACUUCACCACAUUGUGCAAAAAAAAGGCAUUUCAUCACUGCCGUACAAGGAGUGCUUAAUAUUUGCCAAUGCCCCCUCUCCCAAUCAGCCAACCCAGGUCCAAGCCAAAGGCCAAAACUGUAGUUCUCUCAUAAAAGUGCUCGUAAUGAGGAAAAUAUGAGAUUAAAUUACUCAAGUCAACAGUUAAGAGCUUAAACUGAAUGCUCUUGUCAUGUUUGAUUGUAAAAAAUAGUUUUAGAAAUAAAAUCAAAAUUUAACAUUUCUCAAACUCUGUAAUUACGCAGCUCUUACAUGUCUGCUUGAGAUCUGGUGGAUAAUGUUUUAUGGGAAGGAGGACUUUAUAAAUUGUAACUGCUCGCCUUUUCUAUUAUUUACAGUUGUUGAAUCAUGCCUUCCCCAUUGUUUCUUCUCUUUUAAUUGAAGCUAACCAGAAGAUAAUAGAAUGAGACCAUAUUUAGUUAAUUGCUAUGAAAACUGAUUUGAGAAGCCUUAUUGAGCCAAUCUUAUUGGACUCAGAUUUUGGUGUUCUUAAACCAGUACAUGCAAGGGGUUUAGCUUCUUUUUCAUUAAAGUAGCUGAUUCUCAGCUUGGUUAAUUUGUAGUUAAAAUUUGUUUAGUUGUUCAUAAGGACCAAUUUCUUGAAGUUGUUAUAACAAAUUUGCUCAAUAUCACUUCAUUUUAAACAGUAACUAUAAGAGAUCUUAUUUAAAUCUGAGGUCGUAAACUGUCUUUUAUUACUCUUGUUGUAUUAUUCCAUUUCCCACCUUAUGCUAUCCUGUCACCCUAGACAAGAUGAAAUAGUGCUUUAAAUAUGGCAUGCAUUUCACUGCUUUAUAAUUUGUUUGUCUAAUAUCUGUCUAUCCUGCAGGGGUGGCUUGUUUUCAGAAUCUCAACGGAUCAAAUACACCAUCGAAACACGAACUCAGGGCAUUCCAGAUGUCCGAACAUAUUUAUUGACACUGAAGGAAAUAAGAUCCAAGUAUGUUAAUCCCUAUUUCUCAGUUAGUUGCAUAUCGUUUAUAAAUCCUUAAUAUUGUAGAAUACCAUAUUUGGUAGUUUAGGGCUCAUUUGUUUCACAGAAAAUAAACUCAGAGUCAAUGGAAACAUUGACCAAUUUUUCCAAAGCAAAAUGUCAUGGGAAUUCAAAAUUUCAAAUGCCAAAACUAUCUCAGCAAGGGAAUUCAAAUGCCCGUCCUUUUUGCCAAAAAAUAAAUAAAAUUAGUAAAUUAUCACUUUCUAACUGUUUUGCAUUCUUUUAUAUUUCUGAUAUUUUUGCGUGUAUAUUUAAAUGUUGCAAAAUUAUUAUUUAUCAUUAUUAUUAUUUUGGACAAUAGUAAUGACAUUAUUUUAAUAGUUCUUAUAGUGAUGCUGAUUUUCCAGAAAAAAAGAAACCAUAUAAUGGAAUAUGUUUUAUACCACAUCAUUUGAACAGCACGCAAUAGCAGCUUUUCCAGAAAUUGUUUAUAGGAAGCAAUUUAUGUGAAACAAAACGAAGCCUUAAAUUUGUCUCCUUCUGCCACGGUAGCAUGUCUUUGCUGUCCCUGUUUGUUUCAGAUUUUCCUCUUUCCGGGAAGUAUAUAGCUUUCACUGAAUGAAAAUAUUGGAGUCCUGUUUUGCAUGGAAAAUUCCUAUUAGAGUUGAGUUGAACUUGUGUUUUGAUUGUAAGAUCUGCUUCUGACUAUUUCCAUAUUAUCUUUUUGUGAUUAAUCUUUUUAUUUAUUCAUAUCUUUUUUCAACCUUCUGAAGGAGAGGACUCACUGAUGAACUUGGUGCUGAGGCUAUGAUGAUGGGUGCGUUGGAUAUAGUUGAAAAAGAAAUCAAGAAGCCUCUUAUGAGGGAUGACAAGAAAUCAAUGGCUCUUCUUACUGCUGAGUUUGAUAAGAUCAAUAAGAAGUAAGCAUUCUUUUCGAUAGCCAGAUAUGUUCCUUUGACCAUUGACUAGGCAUUUCUGAAAAUAGAAAAGCACGCAAAUUAUAUUAUUGGACUCGGAAUGAGCUAGAUUCUUUAUGCAAUUCCAGCAAAUGGCCUCAUUGCAGAAAAUAAUGAAUUUUUUUAGCCAUUUUUGCAAAGCAUGUUUCACAUUCCGCCCGCUUUUACAUAAUGGCUGCUGUAAUAUGUGAUUUUGAGUUGUUGAGCUCCAAAUUUGCUUCUAUCCCUAAAUUAAAGCAGAGAGCUGCGUUUUACUAUUUGCUUAUGAGUUUUGGAGGAGUUUUAAAUUUAGGCUUUGCUUCUGUUCCUAAAUUGAAGUGGAGAGUUAUGUUUGUGUCUUCUUUUGCUACUGUUUUCUAGGCUUGGGAUCCGGAAGGAAGACCUGCCCAAGUAUGAAGAACAACUGGAGCUAAAAAUUGCCAAGGCGCAAUUGGAGGAGCUGAAGAAGGAUGCUCUUGAAGCAAUGGAAACACAAAAGAAGCGGUAUGUUAAAAGUUCUUGUGUACCUAAGAAUCAGCCAGAAAAACGAUCCAAGCAUACUAAAACACACACACACACACACACACAAUACAUAGAGAAAAAGCAAAAUACCAAGUUGAAACCAAAUUGAGAGAGGUGGGAAAAGGUUUGGGUUUAGGUUUUAAGUUAGUUCAUAUAUUUAGGGUAAGAUAGUAUUUUAAUAUCAAUAUCUUAAAAUAUGUGAUGUAAAAAAGGAAAGUUUGAUUAUCGAACAUAGUAUUAAGAUACUCGAAUUUGGCUCACUCAAUAGCUUGAGCUGCUCAAGCUUGGCUUUUUAACAACUGAAUCUAAGUUGAAUUUUUUUGAGUCAAACUCAAAUAGCUUGCGACAUCAAGUGUUUUCUAGUUCUUGGGCGUGGCUGCUGGGACAUUUCAGUUGGAUGAAAUCGGUUUAGUUGCUUGGAGCAUAGAUCAUAAAAAUGGCCUUCUUUAGUCAUACUAUUGGGUAAACUUUUAAACUGUUAAUUUGGGAGAAACAUUAUACUAUUAUAGUUUGUAUAACCAAGAGAGAUGAUAUUUAUCAAAUCAUACAUCUACACUGUUUAUACAACCAAAUCAUUAUCUGCCUGGAAUUUGCAGUAAAAUGUUGGAUGAACGUUUUAUUGGUAUGCAUGUUACUUGGGCUCAGAGUGUCGGAUAUUACUAUAUGUUUGACACCUGCAUAUUCAUUUUUCUUUUGCCUUUUAAGCUUUCUGUACACAUUUAGAAGAUCAUAACGUCAAAUUUAUGUCGAAAUGUAUUGACAUAAUUGUCAAACAUGAGGGUUUUAGGAAAACUGUAAGUGUCUGGGUAAUAUAGUUUGUAUUCAGGACAUUUAUAUAUGAAAUGUUCUUAAAUGGGUUAAAUCACAUUUUGAGAUUUGAUCUUGGCAAUUUUUCCCACAUUGAGGCCUGAACUCUUUUUUUUUUUUGUCUAAGCUAGACUUUGAACUUGACAGCUGUUCUCACAUUGAGACUUUUAACUUUUUUUUAUCCAAAUUAGUCCUUGAAAACCUUAAAUUUCAGGCCUUAAUGUGGGAAUGAUUGUUAAGUUCAAGGUCUAACUUGGAUAAAAAAAGUUCAAGCCCCAAUAUGGGAAAAGGUGCCAAGUCCAAGUCUCAAUAUGGGAACAAUUGUCAAGUUUAGGAUUAACUUGGAUAAAAAAAUUUAGACCCCAAAUAGAGAUUUAACCCAUUUUAAAUCUUUGUUGUGAUAGAAAUUGAUGCAAUUUUUUAUUUUAUCUUUUGUCAGGGAGGAAUUCAAGGAUGAGGCAAUGCCUGAUGUGAAGUCAUUGGACAUCCGGAACUUCAUCUGAAACUCGAAAUUCGCCUUUGGUGGUUCCAGUUUGAGGGUGAACAAGUAUAACUGUUCAACAAUUGCUUAAAACCUUUCUUUUUCAUUUUGCUACAAUAAUAUGAUAAAUAAUAAUAAUGAAAAGUGAAACCGGUGAUUGAAAGUGCACAACCGUCAGAUCUGAACAACUUAAAUUGUUGUUUUUGUUUGUGUUUAUUAUUCUCAAGUUUUUGGGAUGAAUUUCGGCUCCUUAUUGUUAUGAUUUGGUUGGUUGUAUGAAAGCAAACAUCGAUCCGUCUUUGAGGUAGAUAAACCGCAUCCAUAAUAAUUAGCUUUUUAUGAUGGCAAAAUUAUGUGGAUAUUUUUUAUUAGCUUGGACAAAUUUAUCAAUAAAAAGAUUUAUAUUUUUCCUUGCCAUUAAGUGACAUUGUUAUGAGUUGCUUUUCUUUUGUGGGUACCGUUACAGAAGUUAAAAGAGUACGAUGGAAUUAUUUUAUUUUUGCAAAAAAAAAAGAAAAAGAAAAAGAAAAAGGGGGAGAAUAUAGAUAUUAAUUAAUUAUUUUUAAAAAAACAAGUGUGGUUAUUAAUAAAUUAAGAUAAAAUUAUGAAAAGAUGCGUCCUAUCUCGCUAUCUUAACUCCUUACCACGUGAUCUGCACGUUCAAAUCCAAAUUUCAAGGAUUUUAUCCCAAGUUCUAUGAGUAUUUAUUUCUUUAUUAUGCCAUGUUAUUAUAUUCUAACAACUUACAAGUUACAACAAACUCGUGGGAACAAGGAAGAUGAAGGCUUAUAUCAUCUCUGUGCUCUUUCUUUUAAUAUUUUCCUAUAGCUGUUUCCUGUACAUUUUGUGAGAUUAAAGAUGACUUAAAGAUUAAUUAUUAUUAUUAUUAUUAUUAUUAUUAUUAUUAUUAUGGUGAAAUUAAAAUAAUCAUGAAAUAUAUGUUCUUAUGUUUGAAUGUAGAAAUAGUAUUGUGAGUUUAUUAAAAAAAAAAAGAAGGGACUUCGGAAUAAAUAAAUUUUUAUGUAACAAGUUUAAUUAUUCGAUAUUUUUGGAGUUAAUAAAAAAAGUACAAUUAUUUUAUAUCAUUUAAUUUUUUGAUAUUAUUUUUAAAAGAAAAAAUGGUAUACCUACAGAUGUUAAAAUAAAAUAACCAAUAUUUAUUAACUUUAUUAAUUAUAUAGUUUUUUAAUGACUUAAUUUAUAUAAAUAAAUAAAAACCCUCCAUAAAAAAAUCAAUUCACCCUUUCCUUAUCCCAAGUUAUCACUUCCUUUAUUAAAAUGUAAAAACUUCACAAAUACUAUGGAAGUAAACAAUUUCAAGUGGCAUCAUAAAAAAACAAAAAACUAAACUAGAUGAAGUAAAUUAACUAAAAAUCUGAUAUUGGCGGGUAAAUCGAGCGAGUCAAAAAAGGAAAAAGAAAAAUGGCGUGGGAAGGGAAACGGGGUUGUUUGGGAAAAUAGAGAUUGGACAAAAAGAUAAAAUCAGCGCCGUCGCUUUGGUUAAGAGAGUGGCGUCAUCGUCGCUGUCCGAGUGGGCACGGCAAGGGGUCGCCUGGGGGACCACCCCCUGUAAGCGCACGUGGGCACAUCAGAUCCACCCCCCCUUCCCCACUGACUUUGCUUUUUGCUUGGCUGAGAGAGAAAAGAGUUGGCUGAGCUAUUUUUAUUUAUUUCUGCCCCUCUUGCCCCCUUACACUGCCCCACCCUUGUCUUCUGCCCCUAACUUAUCCGCUUACUUUUGAUUUAAUUAAUAAUGCUAACUAAUUGAGUGGAGGUUUAAUCAAGUAUUACAUUUGUAAAAAUAUUUAUUAAUAAUUAAACUUAAAUUGAGAUAUUAAACUACGCUUAACAACUCCUUAAACCGAACUUAUAUAUUUUAUAAGAUUCGACCUUCAAGGCUCCUCCUUUUGAUUAAGCUAAAAUAUGAUCGGCUAAUUAAAUAAUUUGUUAAUUACCAUCCGUUAGGUUUGGUCAGUUCAAAUCAAGCUUUAAUCAGGGCAAUUUUUAUAAUUCAAAGCCUAUAUCAUUUCAGAAAUAUAUAUUUUAUGAAAACUAUAUCAUAUACAGCUAUCAUUAUCAUUUUAUGAAAAAUUAUCACACAUCAAAAAAUACUCCAACAUUAUUUGACGUAUUCGCGGACUUAGGGGGAGCUGGUGGGUCUCCAAUCCCCAUUUAUAAAUUAUGAAAUUUUAAAUUAGUAAUGGUGAAAUUAUAUUUCGGUUCUCAAAAUAAUAAUAAAAAUUAAUUUAUUAAAAUAAUAAAAAUUAUAUUUUUUACGAUAGUAGAAAUAUACAAUUUAAUAACGACUCCCUAAAAAAAAUUUUCUAGCUCUGCUACUGAUCUGAAGAGGUACUAUUUGGUUAUUAAUUGAAGUAGGUAGCAAGGAAUAACGGAAUAUAAUCUAUAUUAUGUUUUAAAUGCCUAAAUGAAUUGAUAUCACUCUAAUUCAACCGGUAAAUGAUUAAAACUAUAGUUUUUAUAAAAUAAAAUAGGUUAUCAAUAGGAUGUUUUUUUAUAAAGUAAUGUUGAUACUCCAUCUUUGAUAACCAUACGAAGUAGUAAUAAAAAUACCACAUUAAACGUUUUUAAAUACAAAUAUCACGUAUUCUAACAAGGUUGCAUUCAAGACAGUACCUUAAAAAUAUAUUAUUAUGAUUUAUUAUUAGUAGAUUCAUCAAAUUGCUCCAAUUCUUCCUACAUUCUAUUUUCUAUUUUUUAUUAAAAGAAGAAGAAGCAGGAUUAACAGAUUUAUGAGCACUUUUCACCCUAUUUUCAGCAAAAAGUGUGACCACCUUUAUAUAUAUAUACAAAAAAAUAAUAAUAAUAAUUCAAUCAAAUUAUCAAAACACCAAAUUUCAUGCACAAGAUCUGCCCAACCAAUUUACUCUCUUUGAUUUGAACUAUUAAAGAUGCAAUGCCUCUUUUCAGUUUUAUCUGUUGAUUAAAAAAAAUACAUCAUGUUCAGGUCUUUUUUGAACCUUCCUUUAUUUAUGGUAACUUGUUCUAUCGUUUAAUGAAUUGAUAUGUUUAAAAAACAAACAACAAACUAAAAUUUGAUCCUAUGAUAAUAUUUAAGGUUUAUAUAUAAAAUAUAAAAAAGACAAAAAAAAAAUCUCAUAAUGAUAUGUUUUAUUAUAAAAAAAAGGUAUUUUUGUGCCGAUUAAAUCUUAACUCGAUUGGUAUGGAUAUUGUUACCAAUGUAAUAGGAUGUGAGUUCGAUUAAGCUGAAACGCAUUAUUCUCCUAUUUAUGAGUUGGAGAGGGGUUAUGGAUAAUUCUAAAUAUUUUUGUGUAAAAAAAAAGUAGGUUCUACGAUCAAAAUGCUAAUUUAAUCAAAGAUAAAAAUAUAUAAAUUUCAUUAGGCUUUUAACUUCUUCUUUUUUAUGAUUAAAGUGAUGUUCAUUUUACAAUACAUAAAAAUGAUUCCUUCUAGGAUUUUGAUUAAUAGAAAGUGAAAACUUUUAACCUUUUAAUUUUACUUUAUAUUUAUUCAAUAUUAAAUUUAGUGUUGAACCCACUAAAAUUUAUCUCUUAAUUAUAUAAUUAUUAAUUAUACUAGUUCUAAAAUCUACCUUCACCAAUAUAAUAACUAAAAAAACACCCAAAUGCAAGAGCACGUGCAGUGCAUGAAAAGGGGGGAAAUUGACAAAUAAUACUCAAAUUUAUAUCUGGAAAACGAGGAAGAACCUUGGAAUUUGGUAAAACCUUGAAUUCUAUUGGAAUUUAUCCCACAUGUUCUAUGUGAAAAUAAUUGUAUUGGUAAUCAAGUUAAAAUAGGCGGCCAAUUUCCACUUUAAAAGAAUCAAGCAAAAUGAGUAAAUGGGCUUUUUCCUAAUUAAAAAGGUGUGAUUAAUUCUUUUAAUUUUAUGUACUUUCAAUAGCCAAGUGCAAAAUUAAUGGAACACAACAUAAAUAUAUAAAUAGACAAUUAUUCUUUUAUAAUUUUAAAUUACUAGGUUAUUUAUCAUAUACCUCAAACCUUAAAUAGGAGGAUAAUGUAUUUCAAUGCAUGCAAACUCACGCCCCCCUACACUGAUAAUAAUGGCAACAAUGCGGAUGCCUAUCGAGAUGAGACUCAAUAGAGAGUAAAAUUUUAAACGAUCCACUUAAGACUAAUUAAUAAAACAAAGUUUUUCUAUAAGAAAAAAAAAUGAGGAAUAAAACAGCAUAACAACUGGGAAGUGUAUAUUUACACAUUUAUAACAAGCUAAAACAGCCUGUUUUUUUUUUUCUUUUGCAUGCAUACAUACAUCAAAUGGUAAAGAUACAUGGGGGGGGGCAAUUUUAUGGCCCUUUUUUUUUUUGUGGGAGCUUCAUUCUUCAUAUCUUAAAAGAAUCUCAUGUGAAAAUUUGGUUCAACUGGAUUUAUCUACUGGCUACUACAUACCUUCAGGGACUUCUUUAAUGGUCAUGUCUACCAUUUCGACAGCAUUAAAACAGCCAUCGUCGGUGCCGAUGGUUGAUUCUGAGUCGAGUCCGGACCCUGCUUGUAUUUCCUUGAACAUUGCCAUUACUCGAAUCAUCGUUGGUCGUUUCGAUGGUCGAUCAUCCAAGCAAGCUGAGGCUAUUUUUAAGUGUUGUGAAAGCUCCAUCUCAAGGCUUGGGUCCUCGUUGAUGAGCUCGGGAUCAAAGACGGCGGUUUCUCGAAGUUUAGCCUGCUGUUUCACCCACCCAACAAGAUUGUUAUCCCCGAAAUCGGCGGAACCCGUAGGCCUUUUCCCUGUUAGCAACUCGAGCAAAACUACACCGUAACUGUAAACAUCGCCUUUGGUGGAACAUCGAAAACUAUGGUAGUAUUCAGGGGGAACGUAGCCAGGGGUACCAGCUAAUGUACUGACACUUAAAUGCGUAUCCAUUGCACUCAUAAGCCUUGCCAUCCCGAAAUCUGAGACCCUAGCCUCCAAGUUCUCGUCAAGCAGGACGUUGCUCGAUUUCAUAUCUCUAUGAAUUAUAUGAGGAAUGCAGUUAUGGUGAAGAAACGCAAGUCCUCUUGCAGCUCCAAUGGCGAUCUUUCUCCUUGCAGCCCAUUGCAGUUUGAUCCCGGUUCUCUUUUGAUUAUGUAAAACAUCUUCUAAGCUUCCGUACUUCAUGUACUCGUAAACCAGAAGACGUUCUUCGCCAACUUUACAGUACCCCAAGAGCGGAACAAGGUUCCGGUGCUUGAUUUUCCCGAUGGUUUCCAUCUCCGCUGUGAAUUCUCGGUCACCUUGGCCACUGAUAUGUAUUAGUUUCUUGAUCGCAACAACGCUCCCGUCUUUCAGUUGUGCCUUGUAUACAUCACCGAAACCACCGGAACCGACAAGGCUGUCGUUAUGGAAGCCAUUAGUGGCUUCAAGAAGAUCGGCAAACGUGAGCCUCCGUAGGGGCUUCUCGAAUGCAGCGAGGUUUAUGCUCAAUGCUUCUCGUGCACUGGUUAGCUUCCAACUGGUAUUUGCAGUUCCAGAAUGAGUAAGACCAUCAAUGUAAACAUCGAGAUCAGAAUCUUUCUUGCUUCUUUUCUUCGUUUCCACAAUGGCUACAAUCAAACAGAAGAUGCAGAACAGAGAGAACAACAAUCCCAUUGCGACACUCCCUGCAAGAGAAGCUUGCCUGCGGUUCGACUUUCGAUGCUCGGCAUUCGAACUAGCUGCCUGAUCUUUUUCGCAGGGUUGAAGAGGUACACCACAGAGACCCGAAUUGUUUAAGAAAUUAUUAGCCGGAAAUGUUUCCAGCUGACCUUCAUCAGGAAUCAUACCAGAUAAAAGGUUAUUUGACAGAUUAAUCUCACUAAGCAUCGAAAUGCCAGUCAUUGAUUGUGGAAUCGACCCUUCGAGCCGGUUGUACGAAAGAUCAAGAAUGCCAAGACCCUUUAAGUUGCCAAUCUCUUGAGGGAUGGCUCCAGAUAAAUUGUUGUGGCCUAAAUUCAAAAUAAACAGAUUAGACAUCGAGCCGACCUCCUUUGGAAUAGUCCCAGACAACAAAUUGUACGAAAGAUCAAGGAAAAUCAUGGAGCCAUUGUUGUUAAAGGUAGGCUGUGUGUGACCGCCGUAAACUCUUGUAAAGUUGCAGGGGUUCCUAUCCGAAAUUCGAUUCAAAUCUUCCGAUCGAAUUCCAGCAAAUUCAAGUAAAUUUCCAGACCCAUGGCACUCUCUGCUUCCAUCAUUCUUGAUAUACAUAUACCUCUUCCCAGCAAUGAAAUUAACAGCAAUCUUACCAGAUUGUUUGAAAAGCACAUUAGGGAUAGUCCCAUUCAAGUUAUUGGUAUUAAGGUCCAACCAUAUCAAACUUUUACAAUCUCCGAGUUCUGGUGGGAUUCUUCCAUAGAAAGAGUUAUUGCUGAGCUUGAGAAUCGCAAGACUCGAAAACUUGCCAAACCAAGCCGGAAUCUCGCCCGUCAAUCGGUUGUUCGACAACGAGACCCAAUUCGACUUGGUACAGUUGCUUAAACCAGAAGGUAUAGUCCCAGUCAGUUCAUUGAAGUCAAGAAUCAAAGUCUCGAGUGUCUGGAUUUUACUCAACUCUUGAGGGAUCCCUCCAUGGAGCUGAUUCAACCAAAGCUUCAAAUCCUUAAGCUUUGAUAGAGAACCCAAGCUUGAAGGAAUGGUUCCAGUGAGAUAAUUGACGCUCAAAUGGAGUGAAACAAGCUGAGAACAGUUGCUGAGGCUAGCUGGAAUCGACCCAGAUAAGAUAUUGUCCUGUAAAUACAGAACUUGUAACCUGUUUGUGGGAUUUUCGCAUAAAGAAUCCGGAAUUUGCCCUGAAAAGUUGUUUGAACUGAGAUCCAAAACCUCCAGGUUUGAAAGAGUUGAUAAAGAUUCAGGCAAUGGACCAGAGAAAUGAUUGAAAGCUAGACCAAGCUCCUUCAAGGAACUCAUAUUUUGGAAUAUCCCAAUAGGGAGAUUACCAGUGAAGUUGUUGCUUGAUACAUCGAAUGAUUCCAAAGAAGUGCAAGAAGCAAAGCCACUGGGAAUCAGACCAGAUAGAUUAUUAAAAGAAAGAUCCAGCUCAACGAGAUAAGAACAAGCUUGAGUGAGAUACUGAGGAAUCUCUCCUUGGAAGUCGUUUUCAGCUAAAUAAAGACGCUGCAAAUUGGAAGCUGGCAAAGUAGGAAACUGACCCGAAAACUGGUUGCUCGAUAGGUUCAAGAAAUUAAUGUUGACACAUGAAGAAAUCGCACGGCCUAUAUCGCCUGAAAACUUGUUGCCGGAGAUAUCAAGAUGUUCCAAAGCCGAACAGUCUCCGAAUGAAGGAAUCCCCGUCGAGAAAUUGUUGGAUGAAAGAUCCAAAAACUCCAAUUCCUUGCAAUUCGAGACAUCGAUUUCGCCGGUAAUCUUGUUUCCUUUCAAAGCCAAGACCUUUAACUCGCUGCAACCACCGUAGAGAAUCCAAGGAACCACGUUCGCACCGGAAAUCUUGUUGAAAGACAUAUCGAGGACUUGCAAACUUAGCUGCAAACCCCUGGAUUCAUCACCUGCAAACUCGAGACUAUUGCUUGAUAAAUUCAGAACCUUCAAGUUCGAGCAAGAAGCCAAGCUGGAAACAGUCGAAAGGGAACUAGACAAGGUGUUUUGAGAUAGAUCCAAGGUGUUCAACGAGGAGCUACACUUGGAUCCAGAAGGGAAAGAAAUGUUGCCGGAGAUGUUGGCUUUGAACAAAGAAAUGGAUUCCAAAUUCUCAAGGGCUAAAAGGAAAGCAGCAACGUAGUGAAAAUCAGUGCUUAAAGGGAUAUAACUGAGUUGAAUCGAUGAAACUUUGGAGUCUUGGCAUUUGAUACCAUCGAAACUACAAGGGUCUCCGUUAGGAACCCAGUUUUGAAGAAGAGAUGGGUCAGCCAAACUAGCUUUAAAGUUGAGCAAUAACUGAGAAUCUUUACUGUUAUAAUAAGAAGAAGAAACACCAACAGCUUCGACAUAGACGAGAAAGGUGGCGAUGAAGCUAAGAGUAAGGGGGCAAAAGUAAGUCCCUAAGGCAAAGAAAGGUCUCAUUUUUUGUGGAUAAAUUUGAUUUUUUUUGUUCUCAUAUAAGGAAGAGAUUAAGAGGGGACAAAGGAAGAAGGUGUUUAGGGUGUGAGCACCUCCAUUAGAGAGAAGAAAAAAAAAAGAUGGAGCUUUGAGCUCUGGUUUUUAGAGAGAGAAACAAAAUUAUGGAUUUCUUUUUCUUUCUUUCUUUUCUUUUUUUUUUCCCCUUUUUUUUUGUUUUUUUUGUUUUUCAGUUUUUGGCAUUGGGUCAUUGAAAGAAAGAAAUAGACAGCGAGAGUCAAAGCAUGGUUAAGAAGGGUAUUUGCUGUUGCUCACAUGCCAUGUGAUACUCCACUCUCUUUCUUCAACAAGCUCAUUUCUUUAAUAAAUUAAGUAAUUAUUUAAUCAAUAAAAAAUCUUCACUUAAUCUAAUAAAAAAAGUUUUUUAUUAUAAAUUAAAAUAAUGAUUAAAAAAUAAUAUGUUUGUCUCUCUAGAUAGGUGACCAAGUGCAUGAGAUUAGGGGGAUGGGAUCCAUCUUUAUCUUUAAUCUAUACUUAAAAAUGGUGAGGGUCGGAUUUUUUUUUUUGUAAUAUUAGAAUUUGAUUUUUUUUCUUAUUGAUUUAAGUGUUGAUUGAGUGAGAAAAAUUAAAUAUUAAAAAAUUAAGUACAUAAUUUAAGUUAUAAGAUAUGUUUGAUAUAUUAUUUAAAAUUAAGUAUGGAAUUUAAUUAAAUUAUCUUAUAAAUAAUAAAUUUUAAAUUUUAAAUUUCCUUAUCUAAUUAUUUUCAACUUUUUUCAGGGAAAAUCCUAUUAUUUAUCUUUUAGUUUGGAUUAUUAUAUAUGCUCAAAAUAAUUUCAGUGAUUUUAUUUUUAAUGGGUUUUUAAACAAUGCCUUAAUUUUAUAUUAUAUUUAUAAAUAUAAGAACAAUAUUUAGUGCACUACAAGUAGAAUUUUUAGAUUUUAUAAACAAGAUCAGGAUUGACAAGUGUUGUAUAUGAAUAUAAUAAAAUAUUACAAAUAUGCACACGAUAAUUUUUAAAAUUGAUUAUAAGAUAAAAAGUAUAUUGCAAGUAUCUCAAAUAUUAAUCCGUAAAUAUAAUAAUAAAGCUUUCAAUAAAAUGAAUAAUUGAUUUAGAUAUCCGUAUUAAAAUAAUUAUUUUUAAAAAUAAAUAAAUAAAUAUUUAAGAUUUAAUAUCCACCUUAUAAUUAUCCUUAAAUUUGUUUUAUAAUUAAAAAAUUAAAAAUUAAAAUAUAGUCGUGUAAUUUUAAAUACAGAGGUAGUAUAAAUAGAGAAACAUAAUUGAUACCAUAUAAAAAAUGGGAAUAUAGAAAUGGAAAAAAUAGAGUGUUUGUCUCUCUAGCUUUUGACGCAUACGUGUGAUGAAAGAUUGAUCCAUCACUCUCAAAUCUCAAUUAAUUAGAGAUUCCCAAUGUCUUAUAAUUUAAUGGGGCGGUCACGAGGGUUAAUCCUACUCUUCUUUUUCCUUUUAUUUACUGUUUUUAUAAGUAAUAGCUCUCCUUUUCCCACUUCGAAUUUUGUGAUUUCCCCCUUUCUCUUUUCCUUCAACAUAAACCACGCUCGUUUGCCAUGCACUUUCCUCCUCCACCCCCACUUCUUUUUAAACGUAACGCAGACACAAGACGACAAUAUUUUAAAUUUUAUAUCUUUUUAAUAAUUAAAUCCAAUCUACUUUAUAUAAAUUUAAUAAUAUUGUUUAAGUUUAUAAAUCAAACAUAAUUACGUUAACCAUCAUUUUCAUAUAAUACGUGUUAAAAGGAAAUAGAAAUACGGUUAACACAAAAUGAAACUUUAGUUAAAUAUAUUUAAUUUUAAUAUUAAAAAUAUUUAAUUAAUUUUAUGGAGAGAUUAGGAAGUUUGGUUGAAGUAAAAAAUUAAUGCAAAAUUAUAGUUAUUAUUUUUAGGGGUGUUCAAAUAAUCGGUUCAAUUAAUAUUCAAACUAAAUUACUAUUAAUUGAAUUAUCUUAAAUGUAAAAUUCUUUAACCGUUAAUUGAACCGGUUUUUUUCAAAUAUAUUAAUUGAACCGAAAUAUUUUGGUUAAUUAAAUUAACCGAAAUAUAUAUUUUUAUCUUUUUGUUAAAAUAAGUAUAAAACAUAUAAAAAAAUACAUUGCUAAUGUUCAUUUUCUUUUAUUUAAUAGUCAAAAAAUUUUUAAAUGGAGAUAAAAAUAACAAAUAAGAUAUUAGAAACACUACAUCAGUCUCGAAAGUUAACAAACCCAACAUAAAUUUUGAAAACAAUAAAUAUUUCGAUUAGUUACCCAAUUUCAAACCGAAUUAACUGAUAAUAGAAAUUUCAAAAAUUCAUUAAUCAACUUUCGACUAAACUAAAUUUGACCAUCGACCAGUUAAUUAAUUAAUUUAAUUUUAACCGAAGUGUAAAUACCAUUAAUUACUUCCCCAUUUACUCAGCAUUGUCUCGAAUCUGGAAAUAGCAAAAACAUAAGUGAAAAAAAUUAUUACUCCAACACAGCAAAUACAGAGGACGCUUACAUUAAUAUUAGAUUAUGCGGUGAAAAAAAAAGAACACAAAACAUAUAUUUAUUAAAUGUUUAUAAAAAAUCAAAUCAACAUUUAAUAUUAUGACGCGAAGUUGAAUUUUUAUUGUGUGGGUUUUUUAUUCGUUUUAUAUAAAUAUUUAUAAUAAUAUAACAUAUUUUUGUGAAAAACAUGAAACUCGGUCAAUACUCAAUAUAAUAGAGACAAUAGAUAAGGUGAAAUCCUUUUUUACUGUUUUACAGUUAACUUUUUGAUUUUUUUUUUCUUUACCACAUCACCAAAUUUACCGUAAAUUCUCUGUGAUUCUCUUUUGUCUGUAAAUACUUCGAGUACUCUCCCUUGUUUAGUGCCACGUCAUUCAAGGAUUUUCCUACAACCUUUUAAGGACAAUGAUUGGAUGAGUUUAUGGAACGUGGAUGUUUAUAUCAGCAUGUUGUCAAUGAAAGAUAAAUUGUAGUUUUAAAAUAAGAAUAUUAUUUUGUUAUUUAAUCAUUAUAAUAAUUUAUUUAUUUUUAUAAAACUAAUUAGGAUUAUUACCUUAUACACUUUCUAAUAAAAAAUAACUAUUUGGUAUAUUAGUUUAUUCUACAAACAACCUUAAAAAUUUAUUUUGUAUCGUUUUUUCUUUAAAUAUUUAUUUAAUAUUUACUAUACUAUUAUUUACGAGACACUUGUCAAUCCCUUAACCCUAUUUGUGGAGAUUAAAAACUCCACUGACAGUGUAUUAAAUAAAUUUUCAUAAUAAUUAAAUAAUUUAAAAAGGAAAAAAUAUUUGGUACAUUGCUUGAGGAGUUUUAGAAUGCACAAUAAGUAUUAGGGGAUUGGCAAAUAUCUUAUAAGGGUAUAAUAAAAUAUAAAAAAAUAAAUAUUUUAAAAAACUAGACACAUGACAAUUUUUUAAAACUACUUGCGGAAUAAAAAAGAUUUUUUGUCAGUGUAUCAAAUAUUAACCCUUAAAAAAAAGACAUUUGGUAUCAUAUUAGACCCGCUUGUGGAGCUUUUCUACUUCACUAGCAGUUGGCAAAAUAAUUACCCAUUAUAAAAUGGGGAUGAUCCACUUAAAUCGGUGUAAAUUUUAAGUACUUUUACAUGCAUUAAUAUAUACAAUAGUUUAGAUUAAUACGAUAGAAAUAUCAGAUCAUUUCAAAAGUUUACAUGCAUGACAAGUAUAAAUAUAUUGAUAAAUUGAUAACUUUAACAAUUGGGUUAUUAAAAUAUUAAUCAUAUAAAAAAUUAAGGAAUAAUAUAAAAUUAUUUAAUUUUUACACCAAUAUAAAUGAAUCCCUCGCCUUAUAAGAUUACAGAUUAUAUAAUUACUAUGAAAAUUAAUAAUUACAAUUGUUAAAUUAAAUACCUAACUCAAUUAAAAUUUAUUAUCGCAAUAAAUUUUUUUCAAACUUGAAUUUAAUUCAUUUUUAUUAUAAGUGUCACACUUUAACCAUAGUUUUAUAUUGGAUCCCAGUAUUUGAUCUGUUGCCUAACGACGUUCACUCCAUAUUCACAUGGAACAAGGGGCUGUAGGGUCUUAAAAUUAAAAAUUUCUAUUUAAGUAGUGAUUUAGAAAUUUUAAAUUAAUAAAAAUAAAAUUAUAUUUUAAUUCUCCUUAAAAAUAUAAAAAUUUAAUUUAAUCCUUUAAAAAUUAUAAAGAUAUAAAUUAUUAAAAUGAUGAAAUUAUAUUUUUAUUAUCGUAAAAAUUACAAUUUAAUUUCAACUCCUAAAAAAAUUUAUAAUUUCGCACUUGAAAUUAAACAAUUGGGAUCGUCUAUUAGCAAUGUAUAUGUGUGGCAAUGAUUUAUUUUUAUAAGUAAAAUAUUAUAGAGAUAUUUAAAUAAUAAUUAUUAAUUAGAUUGUCUUUUUAACUACAAUCUAAUUAAUGAAAUUAUUUAUAUUUUUAUUUAAAUAUUUCUAUAUUAUUUUGUUUAUUUUACUCGUAUAGUAUACCUUAAGGUAUAAAACUAGUAUUUAUUUAAGCAAAAUUUAAGUUAGAGAGGACAAAGCGAAAGGAAAGAAAGGAACAGCACACGUGCACCAACAAGCACACGCAAUAAGUGGGGCCCAUUAUUUUUGGGUUUGUUAGGUUUUUACUAUAUUUUGAUGGCAAUUGUUUUGGGUGCUUAGGAUAAAGAGAAGAAGAAAUGAGAAUUGAAAUCUAAGACUUCAUUUUAUAUCCCUCUGCCCAUUUUACCCUUUUGAGUUAUAUAUAAAAUGAUUAAUCACCGAAGGAGGUAACUUAAAGAGGUUAUCGCGGAUCGGGUCAAGUUUGGGUUGGAUCGUAAUAAUUUUUUAGAUCCGUUUUAUAGGUUUAGGCUCGAUUUAGAUAAAAAAGUUAAAAUUCAGUUCGACCUGACCUGUAUUAAAAUUUUUUAUAUAAAAAUAAAUUUUAAAAAUAUAAUACAUCAAAUACACUAAAAACAUUAAAAUAAAAGUUUCUCAACAAAUUGAAAAUAAAUUUUAAAAAGUCACUAUACUUAAAUAACACAAAGAUAGGUGUAACUUAACAAAUAAAUGUCUCUAAAAUAGUAGUAAAAUUAACAAUAAAAUAAGAAUUAUAUAAUAUCCAAAUAAUAAUAACAAAACAGUGGCAAUAUAAUAAUAAAAUGAUAGCAAAUCAGUGGAAAAACAUCAAUUAUUAUUAUUUUUUUACAAAUUCGGACCAAGUCAGACCCGAGCCUUUUUUUACCCAAACCCUCCCAAUUUUUUGGCGGACCUUCUGACUGCCCAUGAUCAAGUCUCCAGUGAGGUAAGACUUAAAAAGUUAAUAAAUAAUUACAAACUAUAUUUUAUGUGUAUGCAUGAGGAAAUCACGUAAUUAGAAUGUAGAUUUAUGUUUCAAAAUAACAUAUAAUAAACAAUAAAAUGUAUGUUUAAAACUAAUUAAUAAUAAUGCAUUAAAUAUGUACGAUAUUAAAACAAUAAGAUAGAUUAAAUUGUAAGUAAAAUGAAUUUUAAACAUAUGAAAUCAUAAUAAAAUUAAAAUAUAUGUAAAAAUCAAAAUAAAACUUUUGUUUAAUGAUAAAUUUAAGAUUUUAUGUAUUAGCGUAGGUUCAAAUGCCACUAUAAAUAAUUUUUUAAUAAAAAAAUAAAAUACAUUUAAGUAAUAUAUCUUAUUUUAAAUAUAAAAAAAUAUAUUAGUAUAGAUAACCUACUUAAAAAAAGUUAAUAACAUAGAUUAAAUUUUUAAAAAAUGGAUUAAAAAUAAAUUAAUCGAAUAAGUUGAUUCGAGAAUCGAAAACAUACUCUAUCUUUGGUUAUUGUAUAUCAAUUCAACCAAACCGUGAAUCUUGACCAUUCCCAUCUUUGUGGGAUUCUUUAAAAAGGUUAAAACUGAAGUAGAAAUUGGAAUAUCUAUUUUUUAUAGGAGGAAUAUUCACGAAAAAAAAAAGCUAAAAUUGUGAAAACUAAAAAUAUUAAAAACAUUAAUGCUACGUUUUGUAAGAGUAUUAUUUUUAUACGUGUCGGUUCGCAACAAAUUAAUUUAAUUAGUAUUAUUUAGUUACUCCCGUGAAUUGCUUUUUAAAAUGGAGACGGAAUUUUUUAUUUGCUUAUUUUGAAUAGAUUAUAUCUUUUAUAAGAAUUAUUAUUCGCCUUUCUGAUUUCAAAUUUAAAUUUGUACUCACUAUUCUUUAUUUUAUAUCUAAUAACCAGACGAGGCAUGAAGAAAAUAAUUUUAAGAUGACGAGGGACUAAAAAUAAGAGAAUCAUAUAAUGUGGCAAAGAUGGCAAAGUCCAAACAACAAACGUAACUAGCGCAACUUGAACUCAGGCCACACCUAGGGCAACCAUUAACUAUUAGGCCAUCACAUGAUAUUCAUAUAUUGAUACAUUAUUGUGUCGUAUGAAUGUGUUUAUAUUUAUUGUGUAUAUUAUAUAUAAAAUUAUGACAUCCAAGAAUGAAGUAGAUUUAUAUAUGAAUGGAGUCGUAAUAAAAGAUCAUUAAAUUCGGGUGGGCACAAAUGAAAAAUAAAUAAUAAAAACGUUUUUAUUAAAAGGAAAUUUAUGAUUCUAUAAACGUUAAUAUAAAAAAUCAUAUUAACUCAUGGGUAAAUUAUCAAAAUAGCUACUUUUUUUUUUCUCUUAGGUUACAUUUUAGUCACUUAUAUUUGAAAUAUUACGUUUUAGUCACUUACGUUAUUGCGUUGUAACAUUUUAGUCACUAAGCGUUAAUUACAAUUAACGGUGUAUUGGUAAGUUGACGUGACACGUUAAAUCAUCAUUUCAAAUGAAAAUUUUAGGUUAAAAUAUACAAUUAGUCCAUAUAUAACUUUUCGUUUUGGACAAUUUAAUUUUUUUCCUUUUACGUUAAAAGAGAUGGAGAAGGGAGAAAAAUAGAGGGAGAAGCAGAAGAGAAUAGAAAAUAAAGAGAGAAAAAAAAAAGAAAAUUUAAAAGAACAUAAAAGAAUAAAAUAAAUUGCUCAAAACGAAAAAAUAUGGAGACCAAUUGUAUAAUUUAACCUAAAAUUUCUGUUUGAAAUGAUGAUUUAAUGUAUCACGUCAGCUUACCAUUACACUGUUAAUGGCAAUUAACGGCUCAAUGCCUAAAAUGUUACAAUAAGUUAACGUAAGUGAUUAAACCGUAACAUUUCCAACAUAGAUAACCAAAAUGUAACUUAAGGGAAAUAAAAAUGACUGUUUUGGUAGUUUACCCUUAAUUAAUUUAUUAUUGUUAAACCAAAAAUAAUAAUAAUUGGUGAAUUAAAAAGAGUUGGACAUAAAUAAAAGACAUUUUCAGGCGAGACUCGCACGCUCACAAAAGAAAGCGGUAAGAAAAGAUAAAAGAAAAAGGAGAGAUGAAGACAUAAAAGGAGACCCCCUUCCCCUUUAUUAUUUUGUUGUCAAUUUGAUUGUGAAAGAGAAUGAAUGAAUGCACAAAAAUAAAGUCAUAAUGACUAUAUUUUUCAACUUAAUGACCUUUUUUCUUUAACUUUAAACCUAAUAAUUAAAUCUAAGAUAUUAUUACAAUCUUUUAAUAUACAUGCCUCAUUAACUUGACGAUUUUUAAUUUAAAUUAUUAUUUAUAUAAUUUAUAUUGGCUACCGUCAAACUUUUACUAUAUAAUAAGGGAUGAUGAUAUAGUAUAAGAAAAUAAAUUUUAAAUUUGUUAAAUACUAUUUAAAAAAAAUUAAAUUCCAUGUUUAAGCAUAAUUAUUGCGAGUUUUUUUAGUAGAAAAAAUAUCAUUAAGUGAUUACAUCAAAUAUUUAAUCAGGCCCCUGUGAAGACACCACUAUCAGAAAGCAAAACCCCUUGUACUAGAGACAGGGAUUCCUCAAACAACAAUAAAAUCGAGGGACCUUUAUUCACGCACUUGACCAUUCAAUCAGCGACCACAUUUUGAGUUCUCGAUAUAUGAUAAAUUCUAAUAUUUUAAUCUCGCUUGAACAAGCUACUGAUUAAUUUAAUUUAAUUUAUUUUAGUUUUUGAUAGAUAAAAUUGAAUAUAUAUCAUAUUUAAUACUAUAUAUAUAAUUAUAUUUAAACAGCUAAAUAAUUUGUUGCAGCAGCUGUUCCCAGCCAUGAAAUUGCCAAAAAUGUUAGGCUGAUGCUCGACUUUUUGGGACCCAAAUGCAACAGUUUUUGAACUAACUUGCCGGCAUUACGCCAUUAUUUGACCAUUUUAUUUCUAUAUGUAUACGGGCUUCCUAUUAUUUCUUUGUUUUAUAACUAUAUUUUAAAUAUUAUUGUUUCUAGAAUAAAUUCAAUGUAUCUGCAAUAUAUUUUUUUGUUAAUUAUGAUGAAAAUUUAAGAAUUGUAUUUUUUUUAAUGAAGUUCAAUUUGAAUCACUGUAUAUUAUGUUCAGUACUUUCCCUAAAAUCCAUAAAUUGAAGGAGCUUAAAAGUGAGAAGCGAGAGGUUGAUUGAUUUUGUUUUUCCAGUGGAGAGAAGGGGACGGUAUACCAUUUAAUAGCAAUAGUAAACCCACAAAAUCAAAACGAAAUCUCAUUUGGUGAUCAACCUAUAAUGGGAGGGGCUUAUGAAUACGACAGGAUCUGCCAAUUUUUUCAAAGAUGUUUGAAGAAUUUAAUGAGCGAAAAUUAAGGAAUGGGGCCACUAUUAAUGUGCAUACAAGAAUACUCUUCUACUCCUGAAAAGGGCUCUAUUUGCUCUGGGAAUUCAACUCCCCUAUCCUCUUUCCCUCGUAUGUAUUAUGCACCCCUGGCCCUAAUAGAUAUCAGCACUUGAGUGCUGUGAUGCCAUCACUGUACUAUUCUUAUCCUUAAGCUUUGAAUGUAAGAAUCUCAAAUUACUUAAUUGAGUUGAAAUAAUUAUUUUUAAAAAAUUACUUAUUUUUGUUGUCUGAAAUUAUUAAUAUUAAUAUAUUUUUAUAAUUAAUUUGAAAUAAAAAUAUUUUUAUUAAUAAAUUAGCAAUUCGAGUUGCAAAAAAGUCUAUCUACGUGUUAGCCCAAGUUCAAAAAGAAAUCAUCUGGCUCAAAACAUGCCGUCACAAUUGGAGCAAAAAUUUACAUCACAUUGAACAAUAUCUCAAUUUAAACUCAAAUUAAACUUAAAAUAAAUCACAAAUGGUUGUGUUAAGACUUAAAUCUUCAAACACCUUAACAUUUCAACUAAACUCUUAUUAUUGUACAAUAUAAACCUUUUAUUAAUUAAACAAUUUUCCGUACAUUACAAAACUUUAAAUUUAGCUAAAGCUCAUUUAAGAUCGAACCUUGGAAUUUCAGUGGAUUUGGGGUUCACCUCAGUUACCAGAAUUGUUGGAGAAAUGGGCAAAAGGAUACCGAACCUAGUUCUAAUUACCAAGAUGAGAAAAUAAAUUGAAAAGGCAAUGUAAAUAAAUUACUAUAAGCAAAUAUUAUUAGAGGAAAACGACGCUGGAUUUACAGGGAAUUUGCUUCCUCUAUCAACAGCAUAAUUUUCACCUUGGAUUAUAAAUUAAAGGAACAUGAAAAUGAUUAACCAUUAUGAGUGCAACAAAAGAAAGAAAUAAAAAAGGAACGAAAAGUUGUAAUAAUUCCGAUCCUCUGUGUAAAUGGCUCAGUUUUCGUCUCUUUUAUCUUUACCCUUUUUAACUGUUAAACCUGUAAUCGAAUCUUUAAACCUUCUCGUCUGUUUCAGUAGAACCGAAUAAAUUGUCUGGUUUUUGUGAUUUGUCGCUUGGAGCUGAAUAAGUCCAACGCUCCUUUCCUCCGGGCUUGGAGGAGGCAUUACCAUACCAGAUCAUUCCUGCAACUGCAAUGACCAUACCCAGGAUUACAUGUAGAUUAAGACCUUCUUUGCCGAAGAAAAGGAAUCCUAAAAUCAGGACAAGAAUAGUCUUCAUAUGGCCAAGCACUUGGAAUGAUACGGCAGUAAACCGGCCGAUGCAGAUGAACUGGCUGAGGUUUGUACCAACGGCAAUGGUGCAUGAUAGGAUUAUGAAGAACUGCAAGCAAACAGAAUAUUGUUUACUGUAGUCAUGAUUGUCUGAAAGCAAAAUCUAUUAAUAUUCAUUACUGAACUCGCACAUGCACCAGGAAGCAGAGUUUUUACAUGUUAGAAGCAUCAUGAUCUCACUCAAUACAUGUUAGAAAGUUGGCUUGGCGAAGGGGAUAAGACAGAAGAAUGUGCACUUGAAAAUUCAAAAUAAGUAAGACAGUUGAAACUUCCAUAUUCUUAUUUGCGAAUCCUUGUAAUAACCAGAUGCAAGAACGUAAAUAACCUCAGUAUGAACUCUGCUGAGAAAUAGAUUAUCUCAAUUUCUUGCCAGCAAGCACAGGACUCUUUCUGGGUCUGUCAGGAAGAUCCUAUUGACUGCCUAUUUGGUCUAAUUAAUGUGGCAUAAUCAAGUAAAUAAACUGUUAUAGAAUACAAAAUCACAAAGUUUGUUCAGAUUACUUCAUUCCUUAUUAAAUGCGCUGGUGCAGAUGAUAACAACCAUAUUUGGGACUGCCAGCUAUAGCAAUUUUGCAAUGACAAUGAAGGACAUUUGGCAUUUUGUAACACUCAAAGGCAGCAGAUAAUAAGAGUGAAUGCUCAAACCAGACGGAAAUGCAUCCCUAAAUAUACCAACAUAAUUUAAAAGCACAAACAUGCCCAAAGGAAUUGAAUCAGCUGCAAUGACUUUUACCAGAAGGCAUGCUAGUAAAAUGGAGCAUUACUAUUACCAAAUAGAUUCUCGUCAACUAGGAUAAGAACCUUACCAUUGAUAUCGUAGUGUAGUUAUAGGCAUAGACCUUUUUCUCUGUUAACCAAUAGUCCACAAAAGGACCAGCUAACAGAAGGCUUGCAGCUUGUACCGGAGCAGUAUGUCCCAAUAAGUCAAAAGAUCCUAAAGAAUGCUUGCGUUGAAGAAAAUGCACAUACUGCAAAAGUAAUAAAUAUAUAAGAGAAAAGAAGAAAGACCCAAAAUAUCAAUCCAUGAACAAGAUUUAGGCAUGGCUGGUGUCUCAUUUAUGGAAUGGGUCAAACAUGACAAACCCAUUCAAAAAACUUGUUCAGUCAUAAAAAUAUAGAACAUUACUAUCAAAACCUUCCAAUAUGUUGCACCUUAGGUAAAAGCAUGAUUUCAUGCAGAUUUACUUACAUAUUGUUGCAGGGCUGUGCUCCAGACUGCAAUUACAGCAGCUAAAAAACCCUUGACGUUGACACUCACAUCAGUAACAGUGCAGACAGCAACUCCAAGGAGAACUAGUAAAAUGCUAAGUUUUGUAUCCCUUGAGUAGCGAACCUUGUCAAAAACAACUUCCAGAAAGCAAGAUACUGGAAUCAUGCUCAGCUUUGCUAUCUGAGAAUAAUUUGUAAAAGGAAUAUGACAACUUCCAAAAGAUCAAGCAUAGAAGAGAUAAUAAUCCAAGUAACGAAAACUGACCUGGUAGAAGCCCACAGAAUUCCACAUCAAACUCACAUUCAUUCCAACAAUAGAGAAGUUUGCAAACAAAACAAACUUGAGAAGAUCGGGUAAUGGUAUAUGAGAGUCCUGAAUAUAACCCAGCCAUCUAAGAAGAACAGUUAACAGGGUUGUAGUGGCAAAAUGCAAACCUGUUAAUGUUGUAGCUGCAGCACAGAAAUAAAUGGGACACAGCAUUAGUUUCUGGAUACGCAGUAAGUGUUGUUACAAUUUGACUUUCUUCAUCAUAAUUAACAGUCAAAAGAAGUAAUAUUUUUUAUAUGUAAGCUAUGUUUUGAUAUUUAAGGAAUCUGGGCCAAUCAAUGGGAUUUGAACCAAGAUAUCCAAGAUGGAGACCCGAUUUCUAACUGCGUGAGUGUCCACUUGCUGAAGUUUCAAACAAAAGCUGAAUAAGAAAACAUUUGUAAUGAAAGGCAACUUCUUAGUCAAGCAAACUCUAAAAAGUUUAUUCACUUCUUAACCCUCAUUUAUUCGUUAAGCUCUCCUAUUAGAAAGGCAUUAAACUCGGCAUAUUAGAAGUGCAAAAGUUCAGUUAAAAAUCUUCCAAUUAAUUUCUUACACAUGUAGCCAUUAUAAUUGUAUAAUAAUAAUAUUCGUCUAAACCUGAUUAGAUUCAAUAAGAGAUAAAACAUACCCCGUAACAGAAUUGCACAGACAAAACAGGAAUACAUCACGGAAUAACUUUGACCACCAAGAUAAGUCUAGAAAAUAUAUAAAACAUAUAAUUUUCCACAUGAACACCAUAUCUAAUACAAAAUAUGUUAUGUCCUAUACAUAAUGAUUUGUCAUAUAUCUACUUAUGAAGGUCACUUGAUUUUUCAUGUUUAUAAGAGUUACUUAGCCUUUCAAAAAUUUAGGCCUGUCUGCAUUUAGAAACUAUUUUCAUUUGUCAUCUCCACUUAUACUCUGAAUAUAAUUAACAUUAAAAAUGAAAAGAUCUUAUCGUUUGGAAAAUUGAAAAAAAAAAUAGCUCUCCAAUUUAUUUAUCCUCUUUCAAGUAUAAAGGCAAAAUGAAAAUGGAAAAUAAAAACUAAAAAUAUUUUCUAAAAUUUGGAGCCAAAAAUAAAUAAAAAUAUUUUCUAAAAAUAAUUUCCAAUUUAUUUAUCCUCCGUCCAAGAUUGAAGCCAAAAAUUUGGAAGAGGACAGGUUUAAAGUGGAAAUCUUUUAAGAUGGAUUGUUUGAAAAGUUUGUCAAGUAAUCUUUUAAAAUUCCCACUUUAAUGGUGAAUUGAAAUUUUCAAAAUUUUAUGGAUUUCUCUUUCAGUUUCCGUUUGUAAUCACAAAAACAACCUAAACAAAUGGGGAAAACCAAAUCAUUUAUGUAACUUCAUGACCUAAUACUUUUGGGACUUUGUUUCUUCCUCUUAGGUUGACCAUACAGAGUUGGACCCAUAGAGUAACAAGUCAAAUGGAAACACAAUGAACACAAAGUGAUAGAUCUAUUAAAUAUGUAAUGCAGACAAAGUUUAUCAAAGUUACCAGGUGAGAUGUUCAUUCAAAACGUACCAAAACUGAAGCCGUACGUAGCCAUCAAGGCUUUAUUGACCAUGAUUAUACCCACAGAUGUGACAAUAUUGAAAGACCAUGAGGCCACAUCCAGAGCUGUUUUCCGAUCAGCCUUGCUUACAGAUGACAUUUUUAACUUAAGUCUCCAAGUUGUCAAGCAGAGUCCUUGUUUCUCAAAUUUUCAUGCAAGCAAAAAUUAUGUUCCGUUGUCAAAAAAUCUGCAACUAUACAAAUGAGUUGAAUUGCUUAACAAGUAUAGCUUAUAAUUAUUCACAAUGAAAAGUUAAAGAAAGCACAAACUUGCAUUCUUGCAUCCUCUUGCAAUAAAGACAAUGGAGAAAGUUUCUUCUUUCAGAAAUAACAAGUAACUAGCAUAAAGAACUUUCAUUUCAGAAAUGACAGAGCAAAUAAAAAGCAGAAAAAAUACUAUAAACAUUAAACACAUUUUUCAGAACAAUCAUAGGAGGCUAUCAAUUUGAAAGAAAAAAAACAGGUAAAAUUAUAUCUCCCCAGCUCUUCUGAGCCGCCAAAUCUAGAAAUUCAAAUUUAUACUUUGAGAAUGAUUUAAAGAAGCUGGAUCUGGGUUUGGGCUGAAUCAACUCCAAAUUUAAGAUUUCAAAAAUUAUUUCCUAAGAUUCGUGAUUCUCAAACCGGUCCACUUAAAAUUGAACAGUACCUGCAAAUAUUUUACAUGAACUUACGGAGAACAACAUCCAGAAACUGGUUGUUAGGGUGAAAGAGCCUCGGUACGUAUAAACUCCCCCAAAAAAAGAUCUUAUACUUUCCAAUGUGGGAUCCAUGUCCCAUACCUUAUUCUCGGCACAUAUCAAACUUCUCAGGUUAAAUAGUUUCAGAUUCAAUAAUUUUAAGUAGGUCAGAAAAUUUUGAUAUCCAAAUUCAAAUUAAGUUCCCGAAAUGAACCAAAGAAAUGUCUGCACUUUAUAGUAAACGGCAGAGCAGCCAGAUUUCGGCACUCGAGCAGCUUUAAUAACAAUAACCAUAUAAAAGAAAUGACGAAACAAAGAAACAUAACAAUUAACAAAUGCUUUUUUUCUUAUCUAAAGCCGUCUUUAUAACAUCUGUUAACUGCUUAUUCCAUUAAAACCUAAACAACUAACAAUAAGUCCUCCAUCAAACAAAAUUUCUUUUCUUAUUUGGGCCCGGAUUUGGCGCAUUUUCAUUUAAUAUAAAAAUAUGAAGGGAAUUGAAACCAUUCCAGCUACAUGUAUUUGACCUGUUUGCUAAGAUCUAAGUAUAUAAUAAAAUAAAUACUAAUUUUUUUUUUCAGUUCAAGGAAUGAAUAUUUUACGCAUUUACUAGAAAAUAUACGAUACUCAUAUUAUUUUCGAAAAAUUUGAGAAAUAUUUUACUAUUUAUAAGUAGAUCCGUCGCUCUUUAAAGCUUUACCUAAUUAAGUUUAAUUUCUAAAACAUAAUUUAAAAAAGAAGAAGCAAUUUCAAUCCAAAUAUAACAAAUAAAUGAAAAGUACAGGAAAAAACACGUCAAAGCAGAAUCAAAAUAAAUAAAUAUUUCGUUAAAGGAAUCAAAACAACAAAGAAAAUUCGCAAUAUACAAAAAAGAAAACAAAAUCGAAUCGAAACGUAAUUAGAAAAGGGAAAGAAAAAUCCGACGAAAUGAACGGAAGCAAAAAAAAAAAAAUUGAACGAACCUGAGAAAAUAAGAAGAGAGUCCAAUGAAGUCCUCUCGAGAUUCGCGCCGUGAAUAGGCAAAGCUAUUCUGCUGCUAUUGCUAUACCUUGAUUUCAAAUGAGUUUUGAUUCUUCUCUCGCCAUUAAAGAAAUAGAGAGAGAGAGGGCGAGCGAGCGAGAGAGUCGUAGACUCAAGAGAAAGAAAAAUAAAAAGUUUGUCUUAAUUUAUCUUAGUAGAAGACAACUAAAUAAGUACUUAAGGUAUGGUUAUGUAGUUACCAAAGCGAAGGUUCCUUUUUUAGUUUUUUAUUUUUUAUAUUUCGGCAAAUUACAAAACGAACUUCGUAAAAUGGAAAAUCUGUUUGCAUUGCUUUGUUUUUUUUAUUGGGUCAAAUAUUGCUUUGAUUGUUUACAUAUGUUUACUUUUCUAGGUGGUUUGUAUUUAAUUUGGGUUAAUUAAGCUAUUUUUAAUUUAAGUUUAACGUUUUUUUCUUAUAAUUUGUUUGUAUUUUGUUUAAUUUCGUUAAAUAUUUUUAAAUGGGUAAAUUGCAAAAAUAGUCACUUUUAUUUACCUCAAAUUACAUUUUAGUCACUUAUGUUUGAAAUGUUACGUUUUAAUCACUUACGUUAUCGUUUUAAAUGCCAAUUUGGAUGUCCUACGUGUAGUCCAAAUUAAAUUUAUUUGAUUAAAAACAUAUUUUUAUCCAGCAACUAGACAUCCAAGUUGACAUUUAAAGCUCAUUUGGAUUGCCAUUAGGGAGAUAACAGAGUUUAACAGUGGAGUGACCAUUUCGUAACAAAACGAUAACGUAAGUGACUAAAACGUAACAUUUCAAACAUAGAUGAUUAAAAUGUAAUCUAAAGCAAACAAAAAUGACGAUUUUUGUAGUUUAGCCUUUUAAAAUUAUAUAUUAAGUUUUAUCCCUUUAAAAUUAAGUAUGGUUAAAGAGAAACUAAAGGCAUCUUUAGAUAGAUAUUUACCUCCAAUUUGAUACUUUUAGCUUUCUUUUAGUUUUUACAUUAACUACAAAUAGACGUCCAUCUAAAGAGGCCUUAAGACAAAAAAACAAAAAUUAAGUGUGAUUCAGCUCGUUUAUAAAACUUAUUAACGAGCAAUAACUAAAUCAAUUUAAAUAAACAAUAUAUGUAAGUGUAAGAUAUAAAAUAAUAAAAAAUUCAAUAUUACUAAGUAUUAUAUUGCAAUAAAAAAAUAAAUUAUCUUUGAACAAUUUAUUAAAUGAUUUUUACACAAUUCAUGAAAGAACUUCUCCAUGAAAGUGAACAUAAUAUAUUUGUAAUAAAUUAUUUAGAAAUCAAUUUAAUAUAUUGUUUAAAAUGAAAGGAAGUUAUUAAAUUAUGAUAGGAUUAAUAAUGGGGAAUUUGGAAAAAAAAAUUAUUAAUAAGGCCGUCCUUCGUAAAUGUCAUUUUCUUCAGUCCAUUAUUUAAUAUCCUAUAGGAGCUCCGCAUGAAAGUGUUUGUUUCAUUGUUUCUUGUUUAUUAUUAUUGUCAAAUGUGACUUGUUUUUAUUUUCAAUAAUUAUUUGAUUUCUCUGAUGAAAAUUUUCAUUAAAAAGCAUUUAAGUCAUGGAUUCUGAUAAAAUCAUAAAAACAAGAAAGAAACAUGUUCCAUAAAACUAUUUUACCCACCUCUCCGAUCCAUUUUAGCCAAAACUUGUGAUAAUUUUGCUUAUAUCCUAAUGCGUAUAAAAUUGACAAGUUUUUAUUUUAUCCCUUUUUUUUUAUCAUGUUACUUUGAAAAAUGUUGUUUUUUUCAUCGAGAAUGACGAAAAAGAGUUUGCUGUGAAGAUAGGGAAAAGAUUAUUCUACUCCUUUUAGGCCUUCAAUCUUGGCUUAGCUUUUGCCAAAAGAUACUCGACACGUUACUUACCAAUAACACAAUGUUGCAUAAAAUGUCAACUAAUACAUUUUUGGUAUAAUGAUAAAUUUAGUCCUUAAUGUUUACUCAUUCUUUUUUUUUCUGAUUUUUAUUCCUUUUCCUCGUCAUUUUGGUCCUUAACUUUUAGAUUUUAGUCAAUUUGCUUACUUUUGGAUGGUAAAAUUGACUAUACUGUUAAAAUUUUAACAGAAUUGAUGUGGCCAAAUUGUGUGGCAAUCGAUAUAUAAUUCAUAAAAAAUUAAAAAUUAAAAAUUCAACAAAUUUAAAAAAAUAUAUAUAUAUAAGUUUUUAGAAAAUUAUCUAUGUUAGCAAUAAAGUAUACUAGACUGUCACACGAACUACCAUGUCAAUUACAUUAAAAUUUUAAUGAUUCAAUUAGGUUUUCCAUUAACAAAAAAGGCAAAUUUACUCAAUUUUGAAAUUUCAGGACUAAAGUGAUCUCAACAAAAAAAAAACAAAAAAACAAAAGCUAAAGUGAUAGAAUGGGUAAACGUUAGGAGCUAAAUUUGUCUUCAUACCUAUAUUUUUCAUAUACAGGUUAAAGAAAAACAUCCUCAAUUUUUUUUUAUGAUCAAUAUAUUUUUCAUAUAUACUUUGUGGUUAGUGAAGAUUAAUCCUUUUUGUUGUCAUAUUGAGGGUUUGGACAUAAUUUCUCUCAUUAAAAGUGCAAUGUGACUUGCUAUUACACACAACACUUAUGUUGCUUAUAAUAUAUUUUUUAAAAAUAUUCUAGAUUGUAAAGCUUUUAUAUGUGAAUUUUUAUUGUGAAGUUAAAGCUUUAGUUUCCAUUCAUAUGCAUGUGUAUAUGUCACGAAUUGAAGCUCGUGACGAAUGUAUACAAAACGUCCCAUGCAGGUUAACUAAUUAAAUGAGACUCAUUUAAUCCACUUGAACUGGCUUGAUUUGUAGAACAUGCAGAGAAGCUCAUCUAUUUGAAGCCUUGGUGGCCUAGUAGAACACUCUAGUAAAACUGGAGUUACCAUGAUGAAUAUUGUAAAUUCUCAGUGAUAAAAUUGUAUAAAGUUUAAAUCUCUUAGGAAGAUAGUCUUUAAUCUCAACUAUCGAUGUAAUUUAAAUUGUACUAUUAAAUUUGGGGGAGAUCAACUAUAAAUAGAGGUUUUUCCCCUUAUUUGUAAUCAUUCUGUUAUAAUUAUUUGAAGUAAUAAAAAACACUUUUAAAGCAUUAACUCAAACACUUUGUGUGUUUACUUUUCUUGUGAUUUUUUUGUUCGUUUUUUACUUCUCUGCUUAAGAGUUUGCUUCCGCUUUAUUUUGGUGUCUUAGAGAAUUCCCUUUAUAAAUUCACACUUUCGAGUGUUAGGUUGACUUAAACAAAUUUAAAGCUGAGUUUCUGUUUAAGGCCAUACGGUUUGCGAGACUAAAGUUCUAACAUUAUGACAACGUGUACAUAUAUAUUAUUUAGGGUUAUUAUAAAAUAAAUGUAUAUUGAAAAUUUUAAUUUCACGGACUUAUAUUAUAUAAUUUUUUUAUAAAAAUUAAAAAUAAAUUUAAGACAAGUGAUAUCUUUUAAACUCCGCCAAUAUAUCAUAUGAUAAUAAUUCGUAUACAUGUAUGCAUGUUUAUUUAUAUUAAGAUAGUUUAUGACAUUCUCUCAUUGAUCUAGUGGCAAGAGCAAGGAAAACAACGUUAUAUUGUAAGCAUGAAAGCUUGAAUUUAAUUCUAAAUAAUCUCAUUUUCUUUUAUUAAUUAUUAAUAAAAAAAUUGAUCGCGCAUUGAGAUUUUUCUUUAUUAAAAUAAUGGGUGAAUGCAACGGCUUAGGCCUCUCCACCACCUAAAGAGAUAAAAUUAUUUUUAAGGUACAAAUAUAAUGAAAAAAUUAUUUUUUUUGCUCUGAAAAUUUUAUAAUUCAAAUUUCUAAAAUAUAAAUAUAUUUAACUUUAUAUUUUAAGAGAGAAAAUGAAAAGGCAAGCUUGGAUCAAACUCAUCACAUGCACAUUUACGUUUUUGUCCAAACGUGGCAAAUGGAUUCGGACAGAGUGCAAAUGAAGUCCGAUAAAUUCGUCAAGAGUCAGUGCCUUUCAAGCUCACGAAUAAUUCUUUUUCUUUUGCACGUUUAAAAGAAGGAAAGGUUCCAUAGCUGAAGUCAGAAGCAUUCGAAAGGGAAACAUGUGUGCUUACAAAUGAAUUUAGUUUUAGAAAAAAAAUUAAUAAAUUUAUAUUAUAUUUAAGUUAAGAUGUAACUUAUUGUUGAAUUAAAUUAAAAUCGAUCUAUAUUUGAGCAUCGUAAUUUUCGUGAGUUUAAUUAAAAUUUUUAAAAUUAUUGUUGAAAAAAAAUCAGAUUUUGAUCUCAAGGUUAAGCUGGCACCAAUAAACUCAGUAAAAGAAAUUCGAUUAAACCUCUAAUCUUUCAUUUAAUCGAUUCCAUCCCAUUCUAACAAGUAACAAUUAAUUAUUUUAAAAGGGCUUGGAUCUCAACUUCGCUCUUUAAUUAUGGAUUUGGAUGAUUUUUUUUUAGGAGUGUAAAUAUAAAUAUGACAUAUAUUAUUAAAUAUAUAAAAUCUUAAUAUAAAUCAAAUACAUAUUAAUGGCAUUUAAACAUUUUGUGUUCUAUAUAUUAUAUUAUUUAUAUUUUUGUUAAAUACAUGGGGAAGCUAGAAAAUUAGUUUAGGAUGAAAUUUUGAGAAGUGUAAUUUUAUUAAUGUUUUAAUUUAUAAUUUUAUAAUUUUUAAAAGGGGUAAAUGCAGUUUUUUCAUUUGAGGGGCAAUGCUACAUUAUUAAUUAAAUAUAAUUUGCUAAAAAAAUAUGAAAUCGAUUAUGUUAACAGAUGUAUCAAAAAGUUUGAUCAAAUCCGAUUAAAGUUAAACUCAUAUAUGGUAAUAAUAUUAUAUAUAUAUAUAUAUAUAUAUAGUUAUUUAAGUUCUUUCUACCUCGAAACACUAAUCUCAAAAUUUGUCAAAAUAAUAAGUGACUUAAAACCCAAUGUUUGAAUUAAUUGGAUUGGAAGCAAUUUUAUUUUGGUUGAAAGGUUGAAUUUGGGUUUUUUUUCUUGUACUCGAAGUUAAAUGAGCCCUCUAAUUAACGAAGUGAUUAACAACGAGAAUUAUGGGACAAUUUCCUACUAACCCUUUAAGAAAACCAUUCAUAACAAAGUCGAUUAUUGGGGUUAAUAGUUGGAAUGCCACAACUUCAAAAUAAGCAGAUAACUAAACAACUCCUUAAACAAUGAUAAACUUUCUCAACCUUAAGAAAAAAAAAGUUUUAAACUUCAUCAGAUAAUUAAACAAAUUAAUUAAAUCCCUAAUUAAAAACUACAAUAAAUUGAGUUCUUAAUUGAAAGUUAAUAAUCACUUGAGCUAUUAAAAUAUAGUAUUUCAUAAAAAUUCUGGAUAGAAGGUUAAGUGGCUAUGUGAUAGUUGAUGUGGUGGUUGACACACAAAAAAAAAAAUGAUGACGUAACGCCUGACAAGGCAUUAGAUAUGAAAAAAUAUUAAUGUUGAAGGCUUAAUUGAUUUUUGGAACAUCAUCCAACUAUCAAUGCAUUUUAUAUGGGAUCUAGACUUGAAUUGAAUAGUUGUUUAUUAGUUUCCAAUGCAUAUUGAAACGCGUUCAGAUUUUAGAACUUAAGUUAUGAUUGUUUUAAUAAAAUUGCACGAACAUAAAUUUUUGGAUAAAUUCAGUUCGGGCUUCUUAAAUUAAAGACUUUAAAAAUCUCUUGAAUCACUAAUUGUAUUUCUUUAAGCUUAAGCUUUAAAGUUUUAUAUUAUUUAAAAGUAUAUUUAAGAGAUUAAAUAUUUUUUAUUCAUAUAAUUAAUUAAGAUCUAUAAAAUCAAAUGUUUAAUUAAUCUUUUAGGAAUUAUAUUGUUUUUGAACUUGACCAUUCAAAGGUCUCACAGUACAAAUUUAUCGUUUCUUUUACAAGUUUUUUUUCGAUAGAAAGAAACGACAUAUUGCGAUUACAGAAAAAUAAAAAUAUUAAAGUAUAGCAGCAACAACAUUAUUUUGAUCAUCAAAUAACAACCCCAAAACUGAACUUGGAGGAUCCUCAAAUAUUAGCAUAUUAUUGUUAUAAUCAUUUGCAAUCUUUGCCAUAUGAUUGACAACUUUAUUUUGGGACCGAGAGAUAUGACGAAUCCAUACACUCCAAUUACGACAUAGGAGCUGAUGAAUUAGUCGUAAUUCCUGCAAAUUGCUACUGACCGCACCUCCAGUUAGGAGAGUCUCCAUCAAAAUGGCGUUAUCACAUUCUAAAUUCAACUGUCUAAAACCCAACUUAAAUUAAAAAUUUAGAGGAUUUCGCAUCCUACAUAUAUUUUAAAAAAACACACAUUUAUUUAUUACACUUCUUUAGAUAUUAAAAAGAAAAACUAUCAUGUCAAUUUCACAAUUUCAAAUAAGUUUAACUUAUAUCUUCAAAAACUACUCAGCACCUCGAAUAAUUGGAAAUAUAUCAUGUCAAAUUUCUGGUUUUUAGAAAUUAAUCAAUUUAAUUUUCUUUCAUCUUAGUUUAGACUACCCUUUUUAAAAAAAAAUUAAUUAUGCUUUGACAUUUUACCAUAAAUCAAAAAUUUUAAACACAUACAUAAAUGCCACAUCAAAUUAAGCAAUAAUAUGAAAAAAAGUCUUAUUUAAUACAUAUGUUUUAAAAUAACUAGACAUAUAAUUAGUACAAAUUUAAAUUUGAAAUUAGAAUGUUAAGUAAAUUUUUUUUACAAAAAAUAAGAUAUCUUUAAAAUAAUUUUUUCCUCAUGUUCUUCAAAAAAAAAAAAAAGCACGUGAAUACUAAAACUCACCAACUAAAAUUAAUUCAUUAUUAAUACAUGUAUAUUGAAAUAUGUUAAAAAAUAAUAUUUUUACCAAACAUUGCAUAUGAAAAAUAAUAUACGCAAUGGAUCCUCAGACCUAAUUUUAAAGAAGCUCAAACCCCAAAUCUGAAGUUGCUGGACUCGUUAUUCCUUUUAAGCUGUGGUCUGGGCUGAAGCCUUGGGCUGUUACUUCUUCCUCUGUUUUUUUGGAUUCAACCGGACAAUAAAAAAAUAUUUUAAAAUUUAUUUUUUAUAUAAUUUCAAUAAAGAAAUGCAAAAAAUUAUGAAAAUUACAAAAUAAACAAAUAUUUUAAAAUUAUUUUUAAAAAUUUAUAAAAUAUAAAAAAUUCUUAAAAGAAAUUACUUCAUGAAUGAUAAUAAAGUCCCCUAAAAUUUGAGUUACUCGUUCAUUCCAUAUUAAAUUAAAUUUGAACAAUAUUUUAAAUCAGAUUAAUUAUAUAAAAUUUUUAAUGUAAAUUUAAAUAAUUUUUAACUUUGAGUAUUUUGUUGUUGAUUUUAUAUAUUUUUAAAUAAAUUUUUUAUUGUCUGUCUCGUAAUAGUUAUUAACUUAACUCGCUCCAUCAAUAAAUAAGUAUUUUAGAAGGAUUUUUGAGAAAUAGAUAAUUUCUAAUAUAAAAUAUUUGAAUAUAUUUAGAUUUAUAUAAUGGUUACUAUUUAUGUAAUUAAUAAAAAUUUUUAUUGAGUUAAUAUCAAGGGUUAAUCGAGUGUCAACUGGUUAGAAAAUUACUAUUAUACUAUUUUAUUAAAUUACUACUAUUAUUAUUUUGACGGUCUUUUUAUUUUUUCAUACUUUUAUAUAGUUUUUAAAUAAAAGAACUAAAAAUUAAUAUAUCUUAGGAUUAAACCUAUGUUUAAUAGAGUUAUAAAUAAAUUAUUUACUAGAACCUUGUGUAAUGGUUUGAUGGUUAAAGAUGUUUAUUGCCUUAAGUAUGGUCUGAGUUCAAAUUGCAUUGGUUAUUUGGGUUUUAAUUUUAUUUUCUUAAAAAUAACUUGAUAUUUAAUUUUUAAAAUAUAUAAUUUUAAUUUUGAAAUUUCUUUACACAGACUUUUUAUUUUAAUUUCGUAAAUAUUAUAUACAUGUUGUUAUUAAUAUCAGUUUCAAACCUUAAUUUUUAUUAUUUAUUGUAUCUAAUUACUAAAUACACAUCUAUAUUUUAAAAUUGUAAUUUUUACAUAUAUACAUAUGAUAAUAUUUCUAGUAACUUUAUAAAACUUUUAAAUAAGUUUAUUGAUUAAUUAUGUCAUGCAAACUUAACCAUCAAUAUUAAGAUUGAUAGACUUAAGAGUGAAAAUUGGAAAAAGGAAAAGGAAAAGGAAAAGGAAAAGAAGUUGUGAGCGAGGGGUAGGGCAGACGAAGGUGGGAUCCAGUAAUCCAAAGAGGCCAGACACGUGUAAUCCACGUGGCAAAAUAUCCAAAGACUGAAGCCUCUUCCGCUGCCCAGCUCUCACCAUUUUGCAUAUACUCUCUUUAUUCAUUGUUUUCUCCAAUUCUCGCCACUUUUUCUUUUUUAUUUAGCCUUCAAAUUCAGAUCCUCUCUAAUUUUCCUCUGAUUCUUUCUCAUUGUUAGGGUUUAAUUUUCNNNNNNNNNNNNNNNNNNNNNNNNNNNNNNNNNNNNNNNNNNNNNNNNNNNNNNNNNNNNNNNNNNNNNNNNNNNNNNNNNNNNNNNNNNNNNNNNNNNNCACUGACCACCACGCGUCUCUCUUCUACGCGGUCGACGUCACGCUUCGUUGUCUCUCUCUUUCUUUGUUCUUACUUCUCUCUCUCUCUCUCUCUCUCUCUCUCUCUCUCUCUCCCUCUUCUUAUCUUAUAUCUCUAUAUGACUGUAUCUCUUUAUUAAGUAUGAUUUAGUUGUUCUUGUGUUUGGAUUUUGAAACAUGAUUACUUUUAGAACAACGGAAAAUUCAUUGUAAAUAUGAUUUAGUUUUGGAAGAAUUAAAUCAAGUUAGUAUUUGAUCGCCGAAUUGUUUAUGAAAAUUUUGUUGUAAUUUGGUAAAAAGGUGUCAGAUUUGUUUUUUUUCUGGUAAUUUAUGUCUUCCCCUUAGAGAAGUUGAAAAUUUAUGUUAAUUUCAGUACCAUUGUUGAAAAAUUAUUUAAUUUCCCUGCCGUGUAAUUGUCGUUGGGAUUUUAAUUUGAAGCUUUGGAAUGCUGUUUGAUGCUUAUCAGAAGUUAUUUCAUCUUUAUUAGCUUAAAAUAAUGAUUUAUUGGAACAGCUAUUGUUGUUAAAGGAAAAAAAUAAAUUAAAAUAUUUAAUACGAAAAUACAAAGGAUUUAUUUUAAUUUCUAUUUUGAUAUUUGCUUUUUGCGCUUUCAGAAGCGAUUAGUGAAGAUUGCAUCUGGAUAAAAGUUAUAAUGUAAUUUAUUUUGAAUAACAACAUUAUUAAUUUUAAUUUUAUAUAAACAAACUAAAUUAUGUUAUAAAUAAUGUUAUGUUUUAGUCAUUUUUCUAAUUUUUUAGCAAAUUACAAAUAUUUGAUUCUAACAUUCCUUUGCUUUUAAGUAACUUUUUAGGAAUCCAGAAGCUAGUGAAAAUCCAAACUGAGAGCAAGGCUGUGCCAUCAUGUUUUAUUAUGCUGACAGAAUAAGAUAAAACAGUCACAUAUGUUACAGAAUGAUUACUACUUUAUAGAAAGAUUGUCGCAAACUAUGGUUCUCGGGUUUGGUUUCUGUAAGGAUUAGACAUGAGUAUGUGCCCACAUGGUUUAUUAAAUUUUUUCAGAGAUUUUCAUGUAUUUUUAGGGUCCGAAAAGGAUCAUACUCUAAUACAUAUCUGAGCAUGCGUAAUAAACUGGUGUCAGACAUGGAUGCCAAGGAAAAGCUGAUGAGUCGGAGUAACAUAGGUCAAGUUUAUGCACUAUUGAAGAGACUUUAAACCCUCACUGUGGCUAUUUAGAAGCUUCACGGUGGAUUCUUUAAGCUUCUCAAAGCAGUCAUAGCUUAUGACAUGCAACAUUGAUGACUGUUGGCAAGCACACACGCCCAUUUUGUGUCUUGUUUAUAUAAAGAAGAGAACAAUCUUCUGAACUCUUGAUCACGUGUUUCUCACAAUAGUUUUAUCUGCUUCUAAUUCUUCACCCCAGUUAUGUAUUUGGUGUGUUAAUUUAUCUUGAAUUUCACAAUUGACAUAUGGUAGAUUUUCAUUCUUGCUUUUACAAAUUUGGCCCUGUAUUCUUGCUCUGAGUUGUCUCUAGUGUAUGUUAUGGAAAAUUGAGCAUAUUUUUUCUUGCUUUUACAGUUUUACCUCACUGAUGAAGAAAUGUUUCCCUAUGACUGUAGCCCUCUAUUGUUAAAUAUUUAUGCAGCCUCUCAUUGGCUUUUAUGUUUGAGUUAUAUAAUCACAUUUUCUUGUAUUCCUAGUUGGCUUUGGUAUUGCAUCUAUUAAAUAUAUCCUUCCCCUUGUUUCUCACAGGAGAAACUUUUUCAAUGGAUUUUGGGGCAGCAAGAAGAAGGAUCAAGGGUGACAACAGCUGACAUAGUUGCUUAUUUGCAGGUAUCUUCGGUGAUUUCUUGCACUUCUUUGUUCUGAUGAAUAUGUUUGGUGAAGGAAUCUUUUAAGGAUUUUCUUGAGAAAUUUUCUUUUCUGUAGAAUGAACUUGAAUAUGGAGCAGAGGAGUCUCCGAUGUCCCCCAGGCUAUCAUUUCAGCAGCAGCAACAGCAACACCCUCAAACUGCAAUGCACAUGAACACUUUAAGUGCUCCUUUUUCAUCUACACCAAUUUCAGCGUCAACAGAUGGACAAGGAGUUCGUUCGGGGGAUUAUCGAGGGAGCCUUCAGCACUACCACUCAGUCCACCACCAGGUUGGUUUCCAUUCAAAUAAUGUUGUUGCAUCUUCUUUUGCUGCCAAUAGACCUCGAAACCAUGAGACCAAUUGCAGUCACCAACAGAAUGGGGGAGGCAAUUCCUCAAUCAGCAAUGAUUGCAUGGACAUGCCUAUGCAUGCUGAGAGUCCAGUCCAUGCACUACCUUUCUGAAUUUCGCUCUGCUUAUGUAAUCGGUCCCUUCCAUAAUUGUUUCUUUCUUCUGGUUUAGAUUUAUUUGUUUUAAGGUAUAGGAAACUCUAAAUUCUCUGCAAAUGUAUUGAGGUUAAAUGUUUAUGUAUCAUUGUAUUAUAUAUUUCUUCAAGGUAGAUAUGGCAAUUUGUUUACAUGUAUCUUAAAUAUAUAUAUGUAUAUGUAUAUCAUGUGAUACUUGUAUUUAAACUAUGUUAUAUUUGAGCUAAUUAUAUUUGUGUUUUAAACCACCUGUGGCUCCAAGGCCUUUACCCUUCCAUUUCUAUUAUGACCAAAUUUCUCCUAUCAACCAGACAAUUUUUAAAUGAGAUAAAGGUAAAAUGUACUUUCAACCCAGAUUUAUACGGCAAAAUGCAGGUAAGUUAUCUGUGUCACAUGCUAACAAUGAUUGUCGGUGUGUUGGAAUGUUAGUAGAGCAGUGGAUUGUUGAGUGAAGUUCCUUCUUGGCUUGGAGCGAUGCUAACUAGCAAAGAGCUAUGCGCCGACUGCCGAGCGAGUGUUAGUUAUCUUCGAGUGUCGGACGAAUUCAGGAUUUUUGUGUGUAUCAAAAUAAAAUAGCUUAAACUGCAUUAGUGGUUCUCAAUGUUUUUCAGUCUAAUAAACCGUUUGCUUGGUUUAAACACUGAUUUUUAUUUUUUUUAUGGAUUAACUACUUAUUUGUGUAAUUAUAUUUCGGUUCUUUCACUUUAACUGGUCGAUUCGGUAAGAUUUUGGUAACAUUAUUUUGUGAAAAGCUAAAAGUAUAAUAAUAUGACUAAAUCAUUUAUUCUCAAAAAGAUAUAAUCAAAUCAAGAGAGGCACCACUGACAAAUAAAAAAUAAAAAAAUCAAGAGAGGCCAGCCAAAGCCCUUGAUUGACUGCCCCUGGGCUCGCCUAGAGUGAGAAGUAGACCUGUCCAUGGGCGGCCCGGCCCGGCCCGGCCCGACGGCCCGUCCGAAAUAUGAGAGGGUUUGGGUAAAAAUAUAGGCCCGAAAUAUGGGUUUGGGCAAAAUUUUAGGCCAGUUUAAAAAAUGGGCCGGGCCUCGGGCAAGAUUUUUGGCCCGGUCCGGCCCGAAAAAUAUUAAAUAUAUAUUUUAUUUUUAAAAUAUAAUAGUUUUUUAUUUUAAGUUUAUUUACUUUCAUUGACUAGUGUUACAAAAUAAUAAUAAUAAAACAUCAAGUUUGUUUUACUAAUCAAAUGUUAGAUUUUGUUACAACAAUUAAUACAAUUAAUACAAUUAAUAAUUUGAUAAAUUUACUAAUCAAAUGUUAGAUUUUAUUACAACAAUUAAUACAAUUAAUACAAUUAAUAAUUUGAUAAAUUUACUGAUCAAAUGUUAGAUUUUAUUACAACAAUUAAUACAAUUAACAAUUAAUAAUUUGAUAAUUUUACUAACAAUUAAUUUUAAUAACAAAUAGUUUUAAUUUUAUUAACAAAAUAAUUUUAAUUUUAAUUUUAAUUAAAAACGGGCCGGGCCGGGACGGGCUCGGGCCCCAUAUUUUUUCUUCGGGCCGGGCCUGGGUAAAAUCUAAGGCCCAUAUUUUGGGCCGGGCCCAAAUCUAAUAAACGGGCUGAAAUUUUUUGUGAGCCCGGCCCAUGGACAGGUCUAGUGAGAAGGAAUACCUGUAUUGUUAGGAGUUCAUCAGUUUGCACUGUUUAUGAGAACUAUGUCCUCAUGUUAUGUUUCUCGACAAAAAGCAUGUGUUUCCUAUACACCAAAGGUGGGAUAUAUAUAUAUAUAUAUAUAUCACAUUCCAUUUUUAUAUGUUUGAAACAAAUAUAUUUCAUAGAUUUGAAUUUUGAAUAUGAAUGUGUUGUGUAAAACUAUUAAUAUCUAGAUAACAUAUUUUUUCGCAUUUUUAAAAUUAAUUUCACAAUAAUUUAUCUAAAAAUUGUAGAAGUACUUCAUUUUUUAUUAAGUAAAGCAGGAGGUUGGGUUGAGUGAAAGGUGUCAAAGAAAUAUUGAAAAUGGAUUGGUUGCAUAUGGUUAAGAUAUUAAUUGCAGGUAUUUGAUUUGAUUUUUAAAUUCACGGGUUUCUAGUUAAAUUAAUUUUUCUUAUCUACAAAUAAACAUUAUAGAUUUAAAAUAAUAAAAAUAACUAAAAUGUUAUAUAAUUAUUUUUUGAAUUUAAAAAUCGAUAAAAUAAAUUAUUUUUAACCGAUCAAGUUCAAUUCGAAUGAAUUUUAUUUUCGUAAAAUAAAGCAUAUAUUAAAUUUGAUUUUUUUUUUUUUAAAUUACUCCUAGCAAACGGGACAUAGCUAACCUUUGUGAAGUGCGAUGGCCAAUGAAAGAGAGCAGUCCAAUCGGCAAAAAGACCGGGACCAACUCUGGAAGUGAAACUGAAUUUCGUUACUAUUUUUUUUCCAUUAAAAAAAAAUCCUUAAUUCUCAUAUAACUCAUCGUAGUAGUAGUAUUUAAGAACAAAACAAUAUCUCCAUCGACAAAAAGAACAAAAAAAAAAAAAAAAGAACGACCGUUUCACCAGACCCGACCUUUUCGCCUGUGCUUUAAACUAUCUUUAUGGAAAGUUGCUUUUAUUAUUCAAACUUCAUUUACAGAUAUUAAUUGCAGUUUUAAACCAUUUUUUCCUUAAAACAAGUGUUUGAUUUCAGUUUCAUUGUUUUUUUUUAAUGUAACUAUAAAACCCAACAUAAAUCCAAACCCAGAACUUUGUUUUUACUUUUGGUUUGGUCGUUGCGUUUUUGAUCUGAUUGGAAGAAAAGAAAAGAAAAGAAAAAGUGAGAAUGGAUAGGUACCAGAGAGUGGAGAAGCCAAAAGCAGAGAUUCCAAUAAUCGAAAACGAAAUCAGGAUAACCACACAAGGCAGAAUAAGGAAUUAUAUUACUUAUGCUACUACUCUACUCUUAGUAAGCUCUCAUUUUCUUUCUUCAUUUCAUGGUUUUUACUUUGUGUGUGAAUCUUAUUGAUGAAAUUACAUUUUGUGUAGGAGAAAGGGUCCAAUGAAAUAGUUCUUAAAGCAAUGGGAAGAGCUAUUAAUAAGACUGUGAUGAUUGCAGAGCUAAUCAAGGUAUAAACAUCGAAAGAUUAUAUCUUUCAGAUCGCUAUUCUCCAACUCAAGACAGGUCUAAACUAGUAGAUUUCUCCAUACAUUGUAAUGUUAAAAAGCUUUUUCUUUUUGCAGAGGAGAGUUGCUGAUCUUCAUCAAAUUACUUCUAUUGGUUCGACUGAUAUUACAGAUAUGUGGGAACCUCUAGAAGAAGGCUUGCUUCCGUAUGAAAACGACUACACUCUUUUAUAUGCUAAUUAACUUCUUUUAAUCUAUAUUAUUCGGAUUUGAGUGUGAGUUGUUCAUGACUUUUUAUUCAUGUGUCCAAGGUUUUAAUUAUGUGCUCUUUUUUAUUAUUAGAGAUCAUAAAUCAUGAUGUUUUGUUUGCUGUCUUUUUAUUAUUACAGUCUAGAGAUUACCCGUCAUGUAUCGAUGAUCACUGUUACGUUAUCGAAGAAGGAGCUGGAUAUGUCUUCCACCGGGUAAAUAAAACUACGUGUUUUAUUGAAAAAUAGUGAAUAUGUUGGAGGAUUCUUAGGUAACAUUAGAAUACUCAUAAAAUGCAGAUAUCAACCUCCUCUUCAGGCUGAUCAAGUGAAACCCUUAAAUGAAUACGAAGAUGAUGGAGGUAAACAAUCUUGUUAAACCAACACUCAUCACAAUAAGAAAAAGGGUGAAUUUGUUUUAGUUUUAUCUAACUACUUUCAUGUUGUUUAGCUCCUGAGCCUCCACCAAAGGCACGAGGAAGAGGACGAGGUGGUCGAGGAAGGAUUAGGGCUAAAGGUGACGCACAAGGUUUUCAAAUUUAAUAUCUCAAAGCUAUAAAUAUAUAAUCUGACUUUCUUUUUUAUUUUUAAAAAAAUAUUUCUAUUCGACAUUCGUAUUCAAUAUAUUGGUUUUUUAAUAUAAAUACGAGAAUAUAUAUGAACUCUAAAGUCGAAAUACAUGAAAAACCUGUGAUAUAUACCUGACCUUCGAGUGAUGUGCAAUGUGGUGUGUUAUAGGGGAAUAUAAUGGUGAUGGUUUAGGAGGCAAAGGUCGAGGACGUGGAAGAGGGCGUUCUUUCCGGGGUCGAGGACGAGGCGGUGCCUAUGGUGGUGGAGGAUACUAUGGCGUCUAUGCUGAAUCAGAUGCAACCCUUACCCAAGUUCGUGGUAAGUUUGUGCUUUCCAACCCUUCUUUCAACUCCUUUUUUUCCAACUGUUAUAUAAUAUUAUAUUAGAAUUAAGCCAACAUUUGUGUACUAAUAAUUUCAAACUUUUCUAGGGCGUGGCCGAGAGAGGGGAAGAGGUGGCCGUGGCCGUGGUGGAGGCGGUCGUGGUCGUUAUUCGAAGACGGAACCUGGGCCAAACCAAGCAAAAGCCGCUUGACAUCUUGUUGUUGGUAUAUGGUAUUUGAAGUUGAUAUAUGUGGAUGCCUGCUCUGCUUGUAUCUCCAUCAACCAUGAAGUCCACAAUAUUUAUGCCAUAUUACUAGCUUUGCUUGCAAGUUUUCUUUUUGGUCAUUUCAACUAGAUAAAGUCUCUUUUUACUCUUAAUUUACAUAUACCUAGAACAUUUGUACAUUUUUUUUCGACCUUUUUUUUUGUUUUUUAAAAAUAGAAAUAAUAGAGCAGCACUUUUUUCCCCCUUAAUUGCAUUUCCAUGCUAUUUGCUAAUCAGUUUGAAUAAUUUUUAAAAAAAAUUUUGGUUUGUUAAAUCUGAAUUUUCUCUAGAUUUUUCAGGAUGAAACUUUGGAGAAUUUCAAUUAAAAACUAAUUUACUUUUAAAAAAUAAAACUUAGAUUAGGAUUUGUUCACGCAAGUGAUGAUAAUGUUACCAUGAUCUAGCAGUGAAUAUCAAAAGUACCUCUAAUUAAAAAAAAAAAUCAAAACUUUUGUUUGCAUGCAAAAUGCUCACGUCCUCAACUCUUACAACUCCAUUAAGUAGUUCUCAAUUGAAAUACAAGCAUUUUAACCCUUUUUUACUAAGGCAUAUAUAUUCAUUAAAGAAAUGCAGAUUACAAAAAAACAACACCUAAACCUAGUAAAAAUAACAUUUUAAAUUUCAUUUGAUUCUGAUAAACUUUCGAAGACAAACUCUCCAUCUUUCCAUGGUUUUAUCCCUAUCUAUGCUCAAAAAGAAAUUUCAAACUUGGAAACCUACAAGGAUUAUGUAUAUAUGCAUACAUACAUCAUACAUAUAUCUGUCUUGAGAAUUUUCAUAAGCUCAACAAUGUAUACGUACAUGUAUAUGUGUAUAUUUCAGCAAAAGAUAAUGUAUAUAUACGUUUGUUUGUUGAUCCAUGGCAAGUAGAUAUAAAGAGAGUUCAUGAAGAUGAAACAGGUGUUCUCGUAUGGGGAUUCCAUGGUGAAUUGCAAAACAUCUCUCUCUCUCUCUCUCUCUCUCUCUAUACAUAUAUAUAUGUUACUCGGAAUCUCAAGACUGUAUUAGUUAUGUACUGAACUCCUACUGGUUUUGCUGCUGCAAUAUAUAUCACUUAACCUAUAAUGCGUUCUCAUCAGUUAAUAUAUAUGUAUGUAUGUAUAUCCAACAGCAUUAGAUUCUUCAUUUUCAUGUAACAAUACUAGCAGGAAAGAUAUUAAAGCACAUCUCUCCCACUCUUAAUUAUGACCUCAAUCUUUAAUGGUAUAUCAAAUCAUGUAGUAAUGAAAAAAAAAAUCCUUCAAAAUCACGAGAUUUCAUUUUCAAAAUCCUCACAUGCGAUAUUAUUAAAGGAAUGAAAUUACCAACAAGUUGAUGUUGUAGUACUAGAAAAAUAAUCCCACAUAAAAUGAGAUAAUCCAAAUGCAUGGCAACAACUGAAAGGAAAAUUAGGCAGCCAUUGCCAAACUGUAUUCAACUUUUUUCAGCUUAUAUUCAUCUAAACUUAACCUUUACUCAACAAAAUAUAGACAUUUUCCCCCCAAUUACCCAAUAAUAAGGACCGAAUUAAGCUAACUCCGUUUAACUAAAACCUGAAAGUAAAACGCAAAAGAAAUUAUUCAAAGUCAGUUAAUUAAACUUGAUGAUCAUGAUUUAUGACCCAAAACCCAGAAUAAAUCAAUGAUCAAUACCAUAAAUUAUUUCCAUAGCUAACCUUAAUAGGCUUCGUUUCCUUGUAAAUUCUGUCAAGUGACUUGUACUUUUGCUUCUUAUGAACUGGUCUCAAAAUCUCAUCUUCUUUCCCAAAAAUCUCUUCAAUCUUUGCGCAAGUUAUAUCUUCACACGAUCUUUUGCCUUGGAUCAUCUUCGUCUUAGUGGUGGUGGUGGUGCAGCUGCUGCUGUUGUUGUUGUCUUCAUCGCUCAGUUGAAUCAGCUGUUCAGCCGCUGCUGCCAUGUCGGAAUCUAACUUCGACGACGACUUUUGUGACUUGACCAAACAAGACUUUGAUUCCGACAUUGAGAAAAUCAACCCAAAGAAUCCAAAAUUAUCUUAUUUUUUAAAAUUUUCCCUCUGAUUUUUGUUUUUCUGUGUUUGGCCAAGAAUUCUCUUCUUCUUUUUGAUUACUUUGUGAACGGGUUUUUGCUUUAAAGAGAUUGGGCGUAGAGCGCGUUUUAAGGUACGUGUUGUAUAGGUUUUUAAAGGAAGGAAAAAAAAAAAAAAAAAAGGCAAGAAAGUGCAGCGUGGUUGCUAUGAAGUAGACCUGUCGCGGGUCCAACAAAAUCUUUUAUAAUUAAGGUGAUAUUUGAUCAAGUAAAAAAUAAAUACUAAAAAUUUAAAUAUUGAAUUAAAAGUUAUAAAAUUAUUUGAUAUAUUAUUUAAAAUUAAUUAUUUAAUAUAAUUAAAUUAUUUGAUAAAUAUAAAUUUUAAAUUAUAAAAAAGAUAUAUUCUAUCUUCUAUCUUUUAUCUUUAAUUUUUAAAUAUUUUAAUUUAUUUUAAAUAAAAAUUAAAUUUUAAAUAGAAAGUUUUUAGAGGGUAAUAUAAUAUUAAAAUAAAUUAAAAAUAUUUUUCAUUAAGUCAUAAGUAGCUCUUAUUUACUUAUUAUUUACUAUAUUUUUAAUAGAAAAGAAAAUUCUAAUUGACUGUUUUAUUUUAAAUUAUUAAACAUCUAUAAAAAAUUAAAUUAUUAAAAAUAUUAAUUUUUAAUUGAUUUAACUUUUUCAGUGGUAUCAAACAAACCCUAGAUAAAAUGGGUAUGAUUUGAGUUAUUAUUUAAUGAUCCUUUAAAAAUAUUUUUAUCUAAAUUUAAUUCUAAAAUAUUAAUGGUAAUAUAGUUUUUUUAAUAUUAACUGAAAUGAAAUUUGAGUUUUGAGGUUGGAUUUUGUAGAAAAGGCCUAAUAGAAAAAAAAAGUAAAAAAAGUUUCAAAAUUCGUCGUGAUAGAUCUAAUAUACAUUGCCUUUGGAAAUCUGGAAUAAAAUUAUUAGAUGUUCUAUUUUUCAAUCAAAAUCAUUCGCAUAUGAAAGAAGUUUACAAGCAAGAGUCAAAGUCGAUCCAAAGUUACAAGAGCGAAAGCUCCAAACAGGCUAAAGUUUUCAACAAGUACAACCGAACAACGAUAAUACAAAACGAUGCUCUAAAAAGACGAUAAACCUAAAGUCCGAGUUGGACACAGCAAGAGGAUCCUACACUUGAAUCAAGCAUUCAUUACUGAUUAUGAGAGGAGCUAAGGAUGAUUAAAAGCCACACAAACGAGCCAUUGUAUUGGUGGAUAGCCAUAGAAGUGAAAUGACCACCUUGAUGCGAUGAAUUCCCUUUGAAAGCCGUAACUCCCUUAUUGAUGGAGUUGUGGCCACUAAACCUAAACCAAUAGAUGUGGAACCUUGGAGAACAACAUACAAAACAUGAGUCAUCAAAGACUCGUCGAGCAAACAGUAGAUGGACAUGUUUUUUGCGCCUGAGCAAAAGACACACUUCUAGAAAGGCUGAGCAUAGAGCUAGCUAAAGAAAAGCCUUGAAUGCGGAAGGCAAAGGUCACUUCCGGGUCCAAAGUGUAUUAUUCCACAAUCAGUCCUAAUCAUGUUAGAAAAUCGACCGAUGGCCGGUUGAGGGUAUGGUGAUGGAGGCGAAAGGGGGUGGUGACCAGCUGGUCAUCGCCAAAUGAUCGGCCGCCAUGUUAGCCUUAGAGAGUUCUAAGCCUCCUAUUUGGAUCUUCCUGUUUGAGAUCUCCAACUGCAAAUUCGAAUAGUCUGCACUUUGAUUGACUAGAGAGAUGGUCGGCUAGCUUCAAGCGGCACACGGAGAUUUUCGAUCAAUUGGGUCUGAAAAGGCUCCUUCGAAUCUUCGGUAAUGGAUAGCACAAAGGGGAGGAUGGGACCAAUUGAAAGCAGCUAGGUCUAGCGAAGCUGCGGUGGCAAAGGGAUGUCGGAGGGCUUAUGGAGGAGUUAUGAUAGCUAGGGUUGGAAAAAUUAGGUAACAAAAGAAAACUUGUUUUUGUUAUGGAUAAAAAAGAAGUAAACAGAAAAAAAAAACAUUUUUUAAAAAUUUUGGAAUCGGAAUUAAAUUACAUAAUACGUAAAUAAGCGUAAAAUCUUUUAGAAUUAUGACCAAAAUGAUACUAUAUAAAUAUUAAAAACUAAUAUUAUUAUACUAAUUUUAAAGCUGUUAUGGCAUAUUUUCGUCAUUGAUUGAAAGGAUUUGAUAAAAAAG
RNAcentral lists this long non-coding RNA (63191 nucleotides) under Gossypium raimondii (Peruvian cotton). Its description in RNAcentral is "long non-coding RNA (GRAI_LNC005100)". The record is from RNAcentral. Lineage: Eukaryota; Viridiplantae; Streptophyta; Magnoliopsida; Malvales; Malvaceae.